CCUUGGAGAAUAGUCGAUCCAAGCUUGAAUAAGAGUAGAGAAUCAACUAAAAUGCUGGAACCUACACUUUGUGAAAAGAGUAGAAGAUAUAUGGGUUAGCACAAUUAAUGUACUAAAUAUGACAAUCAUGCACGAAAUCACGAAAAUAUGCUUAAAAGGGACAAUUUAGUUGAAGAGCAUGCAAUUUAUAAAGUUUGAAAACCCUCAUGAAAAUUUGGUAUGAAGCAUAAGUCAUAAGCAUAAUCAAUGUAUAAGUCAUCACAUCAUAAUAGGAACACACUAUGAAUACUCUCAAAGUCUACUUGUGCCAUGCAUAAGUAAAGUCCCAUAACCCUACCCAUGCUAAGUACAACUCCUUAAGCACACAUAGUUAAUACUUUACUUUCAUUAUUACUUUGGGAAUAAGCCUUAACCGACAUAGACCAUGUGAGCUAAACAUGGAAUCUGGUGUCAUGCCCCACACCGAAAAGAGGUGUCCUACUUUCCUACGGUAGAACUAAGUGUAUUAGCUUUUAGGUGGAUCCACUAGCUAAAGACCUAUGAGGGCACACAGUUAUGGGAUACAAAGAUUGUUACUAGAAACUCGUCCUUUCUAGCGGGGAGCUUCCAUCUCAUAAGGUACAUUAUAGGAACCAGUCCUCUCUAGCGGGGGUAUUCCCAUCUCAUAUUCAAUAUCCACUCGGGGCUAAGCAUUGCUUCCCACAAUUACAUAUUUAGUCUUUGAAUUGAAUUUACAAGCAUGAAGGAGUAUCUUACCCUCCAUCCCACACAAUUCAUAGUAAUAGCUCAUAAGUUCAUUAGGUGAGAAUGGACUUUUAAACUUAGAACCAUAACAUAGUGAGAAGAACUUUCAAUUAACACAAUCAUUAAGUUGUAAUCAUGUUCAUAUACUACAUAUACAUGUAACUCAUAAUUUGGCAUAAGUUCCAUAUCUUACCCAUCUUGGAUCAAGGAUCCCAUUCUCCCAAUCAAUCUAGGUUUACCACAUUCAACAUGGAUAAUAAUAUGACCAAGAAACCACAUUACAAUAAGAACAAUUCAAUACAAUUCACCAACAUUGGAGCCAUAAAUUUAGGGUUAGCGGGAAUUUCAUGGAUUCAAGGUGAAUUUAUCAUAAAAACAGUAAUCAAACCAUAAUAUAAGACAAUUAAACAAUUGAAAAUGAUUUGAGGAAGAAUCCAUGAUUUGAACAAAACCCUAGGUCUUUGGAGACUUUUCCUACUUUGAAAUUGGAGAGUUUAAGGGCUCCAUGGAAGAAAGCAUUCCAUGGAUCAAGAUUACCAUACCUUAAUUGAUAAUUUACUCACGAAAUUGUAGAGAAAAGGCUGCACCUUGAACACUAAGCUUGACCUUGCUCUUGUUCUUCAAUGGAGUCUUAGAGAGAGAAAUAUUUUUGGGAGGGAAAUAGUUUUGUUUUUGGGGUCUUGAAUGAAUGAACUAAAUGAGUUAAUUUAGAGGUCUAUUAGGUAUAUAUAGUUAGUUUUUAAUUAGUAAACUACCCUACUUAAUUAAUUAAUUAUCCCUAAGCCCCUCCCUUAACUCUAACUUAAACUAAAAACCCAAAUCACAGGUGUCACCUACGAAACCCCACCCACGGAUCGUGGGUGGGUCCAUGUGCCAUGCUGGCAAACCAUGGUUUGCAUCAGAGAGUGGAGAAAAAUGGGGAGGCUCAGCCUCAACCCACGACCCCCACCUACGGGGCAUGGGUCUACCCACGGUUCGUGGGUGCCCAUCCAUAGAUGAAACUGCAUUUUGACAGUUUUUUGGCAGCCCCCUUGGUCCUCCUCAAGGACCCUUGGGGGGGAUUCCUUGGGGGUCAUGACUUGACGUUCAUACCCAAACCUGUUUAUACCAAGUCUAGGAGGUUAUUUUACGACUCUAUUAAUUACACUAAACCUCAAUUAGGCUACUAGUUUACACCUUAGGCUCUAGUUUAGUUUAUUAGUUUUCCAGAAUGUUACAAUCCUCUACCACAUUGGCCUUGCCAGGAUGAUAAAGAACACUCAUGUCAUAAUCAUUCAAUAAUUCAAGCCAUCUUCUUUGGGGAAGAUUCAAGUACCUUUCACUAAACACAUAUUGUGAGCUCUUGUGAUCUGUAAACACAUCAACAUGCACUCCACAUAGAUAAUGCCUCCAAAUCUUUAGGCAAAUACAACCUCCGCUAAUUAAAGGUCAUGGGUAGGAUAAUUCUUUCUUUCCACUUUUUGCAUUGAAGACACUGUAUUUUCUUUUUCGUGGGGUAAGGGGCACUUGUAGUGCCUAUCCCUUUCGUUUGGUUUACAUAUAGUUUAUGUUUUUGUUUGGUUUUAUUUUAAUUUUAUAAUUUUCUUAUCACUAUCAAUUGCCACUAGAUUUUUUGAAUUGUUGAGAUGAUUGAAGAGCUUGUGCAUUCAUUGUUGAUAUUUACGGGUCGAUCUUGCUCAAUAUCAAUAUCUUGGAUAGUUCUCUUAGUGAGAAAUAUGUUUGUGUUCGUGUUGCAAGAGGAAAUUUGUGCUGCAUUAUUCUGUUAUAAUCUUUUAGUAUCUUGUGUUACUAGGUGUGUAUUCAUUUGAGCCUUAAAAUGAACAUUGAACGCAAGCUUCUUAACUUUGUAGAGUAGUGUAAAAUGAUUGUGUUUGAGGUGUUGUGUAUGAAGAGAUCCUACUUGAUAGCAUGCUUGUAGAUUCCUAGAAUUCAUCUUGUUAGCCUAAUUGUUUAGGUUUGAUGAAUUGUAACACCCCCGAUUUGACAAAGGGUAAUAAGGCAAGUUUUAUAGAUUUCAGGUUCCAGCCACGAGGGCCAACCACGGCCCGUGGAUGGGACCACGGACCGUGGGUGUGGUCCAUGGACUGAGCACCAAGAUCCUCCAAGAACCCUGAAACCACGACAAGACCAACAGACCAUCGAUUAGACCAUGGUCGUGGUCUGGGCUCGUGGUUUAAGUACCCAGAAUUCAACCUCUAACUAUGCACGAUGGUCGUGUAGGACGGCCCGUCAUCCUGACCAUGGCUCGUCAUCAGUGGCCGUCAGUAGUGAGCUGGCAGUAUUGUUAGGGUCAGUUGGGUCUUUUCCUAAUUAUUUUAUACCUAUACUACGUCGUUUUACCCUUGACCAUGACCCUUAUAUAGGUGAUUGCAACCCCCAAAUUAGUUCAUUCACUUCAUUCUCUUCAAAUUCUCCAAUAAUGCUCUCUCUAGAAAGCUUGAAGAAGAAGAAUUCAACUUAAGGUUUUAAGUCAAGUAUCAAUUACACCAUUGAAGAUUAGAAAUUGGCUUAAAGGUAUGAUAGUUUUCAUCCAUGGAUUCCUUCCAUUCACGGAGUUCUCAAAUUUCUUUAUUUUGAAGUUAGAAAUCCCUAACUGAGUUAGGGUUUUCUUCAAUUGUCGUGGGUUCUCUUCAUUAUUGAUUUAAAUGAUUGAAUUAUGAUCUCUUUUGCAUGAAUUUAUGAAAUACUAUAAUUUUAUGAUGAUUCUCCCAUGAACCCAUGUGCUCCCCAUGUUUUCAAGAUAUGAUAAUAUGAUGUGGGAUUUUGAUUAUGAAGGAAGAGUUUUAUGAAAUUAAGCAUGUAUUGAUAGAAUUAUAUGAAUUUAUGAUGAAAUUCAUAUCUAACUCAUGUUAUCUAAAUUUGAUGAUUGAAAGUGGGUUUUGAACCUUGGAAGGUGAAUUAUAGAAUUAUGCAUGUUCUUAUGAAAUCUAUGCAAAUAUUUUAAGGAUGCUUUAAGAGUAAAGUAUCAAUGAUGAUAACGAUGAUGUGUUAUUGAAAGGAUUUUAUCAUAUACACAUAAAAUAAGAUGUGAAAUGUUUUCUCACAUAUAAAGGAUUCUAAGGUUGAAAGGUCUUCUCACCUAAUUGAAUCAAAGAUUAAGAGAUAUCCUAAUGAAAGCUAGCUUGGAUUGGUUAUUGUAUGAUACCUUUCCAUGGAUGAUUACUUAUCUUGGAUUAGCAAAAUGACGUGCCCUUCCAUGGAUAAUAAGAACAAGUAAGAAAUGACUAUUCCUUGGGAUUUAUGCUUAGCACCGAGAGGAUAUUGAGAUGGAAGCUCUCCCGUUAGUGGAGGCCAGGUUUCUAAAAUAAAUCUCCUUAUCCCUUACCCACGUGCCCCUAUAGGAUGAUUGUCUAAAUAAACAUUAGCUAUUUGAUCUACCUAAGCUAGACGUUAUGGUCCUUACCUUGGCAAGUAGGACAACCAUUUUCGGUGUGGGAGACAUCGGGGGAUCAUGUUAUAGCUCACAUGGUCUCUAUGUCGGUUAAAGCUACUUCCUACAUUAAAAAUGAACUAAGGUUAAUUCGAGAAGUAUCUCACAUGUGUUCAAAGGUUUUAAUGAUGUUAGCUUUUAUUGACCAUGAUUUAUGACUUAUGUUUUCCAACCCUUUUUUAUAUCAUGUUUUAGCUUGGUCAAUUGCAUGUCAUAAAAUGUCCACUUUUAGCAUGCUUUAAAUGUUUUAUGCAUAACUAUCAUACUUGGUACAUUGUUUUGUACUAACACAUACUCUUGUCUACAUUUCCCCAAAUGUAUGGUCCGACAGUUAGGUUUCUCAGUUUUAUGGCUAGAUGUUGAUUUCGAGGUUCCCAAGCUUUGGUGAGUCCUCAUGCUUCGAGGAUGGAUUUUCAUUGUCUUAGUUUCUUUCAUUUAUUUUCAUUUUUGGACAUGAUGUAUGGGAUAGGCCCAAUUCCAUUCUAUUGUACUAGAUGGCUAUUGAGACAAAGUGUUUUAGACUUCCGCUUUUAUUUUAUAAAACUAUUGGACUUGGACUAUGGUUUUACUCCUAUUUUUCUAUUUCUUAUGUUAUGAAAUAUAAGUGGCUUGUAUGGGGUCUUUUGUGGUCCAAUACUCUAUGUUACAUGUAAGGUGUAUCCCUGGGUCGUGACAAACUUGGUAAUCAGAUCACAAGGUUUAGAAUGGUCCUAGGAUGUCUCAUAAGCCACGUCGAGUAGAGUCUUGUUCAUAAGUGUAAAGCACGCCACAUUUAUGAAUGAGAGGCUACAAGAUGUUUUGGAAACUCCACUUCUCUCAUUACUCUAAAGUCGUGCGAUAGAGUUAAACUCUAUAAGGUCUCUCUCCUAAUCCUUAUCCGAUGCUCUACAAGAUAUGGCUACUCGAAGAGCUUAUGCUAGAAGGAAUGUGAGGGAGAAUGCAGAAUAAGAAGCUUCUCCCCAAUCUCCUCAAGUUCUGGUCGAUCCUUUGGCCGAGCAAGUGACUAAUGUAGAGUUUAGGGCUACUUUUCAAGUGUGGGCUCAAGCCAUGACGGCCCAAGCCAAUAGAGAGGUUGUGGUUCCCGUGAACCCAAAUGUGAGUACGACGACAUCUAGAGUGAGGAACUUCAUUAGGAUGAAUCCUCUAGAGUUUCAUGGUUCUAAGGUUGAGGAAGAUCCUCAAGAGUUCAUUGAUGAGGUUUAUAAGGUCUUGAUGUUCAUGGGAGUGACGCAGGUGGAAAAGGUAUAAUUGGCCGCUUAUCCACUAAAAUGUGUUGCUCAAACUUGGUUCAACCAAUGGAAAUAAGGGAGACCGAAAGAUGCAGGUCCUCUUGAUUGGGAAAAGUUUAAGGCUACUUUUCUUGAUAGGUUCUUUCCCCUUGAGAUGAGGGAAGCAAGGGUGAUUGAGUUAAUCAAUCUUCGACAAGGAAGUAUGAGUGUGAGGGAAUAUGCUUUAAAGUUCACAGAAUUGUUUAAAUAUGCUCUAACAAUUGUUGCCGAUUCAAGGGAAAGGAUGAUUAAGUUCCUUUCGGGUGUGUUUGAAAUGAUGGUUAAAUAGUGUCGUACCACCAUGCUCAUUAAUGACAUGCAUAUCUCUCAUAUCAUGGUUUAUGCACAACAACUUGAAGAGGAGAAACUUAAGGAAAAGUCUAGGGAGGUAAAGAUGGCUAAACCCGGUGAUGGUAAUUUCUCUCAUGCAAGGUCCGAUGGACAUGGUCGUCCUAAAUUUUGAAUAAAAGUUUUCCCGUCAAGGUUCCUUCAAUGCUCCUCCUAAGUUCAAUAAAGAUAGUGUGUCUAACACUAAACCUCAACGAGGUAAAGGUAGUUGAACUUCAUUGCAUAUGUCUACUUGUACUAGGUUUGGAAAGAAUCAUGAGGGUAAGUGCCUAGCCGGCAUGGAUGGUUGCUUAAGUUAUGGUAAGAAUGGUCAUAAAAUCGGGGAUUGCCCAAUGCUUAUGGCUAAAAGAAGAGAGGGCAAGAAAUCUCCUCCUAGUGGUUUGGGUCCCAAUGCUCCUAAGCAAAACCGAUUCUAUGCAAUUUAGACUCGUGAUGAACAAAAGAGUUCUCCCGAUCUAGUUACUGGUAUGUUUAAUGUUUUCCAACUUGAUUUUUAUGCUUUACUUGAUCCUGGUGCUACCUUGUCUUUUGUGGCGCCAUAUGUGGCUAUUGAUGAGUUUGGGAUUUAGACUCAUUUAGGGCUAUGUUUUGGUAGUUUUAGUGUCCUCAAAUGCCUAAUUUGUGCUAUAAACUAAUGUUAAAGCCUUGAUUUUCAGGUAUGUGAACUAAAGAGCAAAGUAAGAACACUAACAGGAAAAAAGGAACAAAACAAGCUGAAGAAGUGGAGAAAAGCAAUCUUGGUUAUCGCCAAGACCACUCGGCGAACCGCCGAGUGGCUCUUCAGUUUGCCCAAAGUUCCCGUGUGCCAGCCUUGAAGGAAGAAACCAAGUCACCGAUAGAAAAAUGGCAGUCGGUGAAUCGGCGAUAAGUUCCGCGAUGACAAGAUGGAUUGCUCAAAGUCACAGGAUUUGAGGAUGCUGAGAACCAAUGCAUAACGGUGAUAGAAGAAAGCAAAUGGUGUGUCGCCAAACCACUCGGCGACCCCGACUUUCCUCACCGAAUGGCCUUUCGUGGCUAAUUUUUGGGAAAUUAUAAAUUGAAUUUUAAAUGUAAUUUUGAGGAGCUCUUACACAGUCCUCUCCUAGAUACUACAGUUCCCAUUCUAGACUAAGAGUUUUCUCUAGAUUUUUGAGUUCGAAUUGUAAAAUUUUGGAAGAUUUUGCAAGUUGGUUACUAAGUUUUUUCAAUUUGGACCAUUGUAAAGGCUUGAAUACUCUUACCCAGAUGAUGGCUAAUGCAUUUGGUAAGCGUUUAUUUGUUUUUAUGAUGUGUGGCUAAAACCUAAAUUCUUAGGGUGUGAUUAUGUGAUUAUGGGUUGAAUUAACUUAUGAGUAUUGCUUAUUACUAAUUUAAUUGCUAUAUUGAAGUGGGUUUGUUCAUUAGUUGUGUUUAUAUUUAUGAAUUGUAGUUGCAAAUACAGUUCUAAUUUUGUGUACUUGGCUUGAUCGAGAUAGAGGUUUUGGAAGCAAAGCUUAUGAUUAAUGGUUUGUGGGUAUUGGGUUUAUCUGGGUUCAGCAGGAGAGAGUGAAUCCUUAACCCAAUCAGACGGUGACCUUUCGAUUAAAGUUGCAGGGUCAGACAAAGUGUUGAAGGAGAUGAAAGAGGAUUUCUCAACUCUCAAUUAGAUGGUGACCUCUUACUCAGUCUCUAUUAAGCAGCUAGAGACCCAAUGGGUCAAAUUUCUUCUGAUUUAAAUCCAAGACAACAAAAGGGGUUUCCUAGUGACACAAUGGAAAACUCCAAAAAUGAAGCUUGAUUUUGUAUCCUUGUCCUGCCACGACGUUAACUAAGGCGCUUCUUGGGAGGAAACCCAAGUUUUUAAUGCUUUAGUUUUUUAUUUUGAAUAAUGGGUGUUGAUUGUACAGGUUGAAAAGUGAAAAGUGUUGGAAAAUGGGUAAUUUGGCGAGCCUAGAGUCCAUUCGGCGACACGCCGAACAGGUCGGCGUUCCCCAACAUGGACCACCGCUGGACUCACCAAGCUUGAAGGGGAACUCUGUAAAACUCGACAGGCUAAAUGCUUGAUCGGCGACCCGCCGCACAGGUCGACGAGCCCAAUUUUACCCACCAUUUGAACACCCAAAUUGUUGGGACUCCUAUAAAACUAGGGGAGGUAAAAUACCACUCAGUGCAUCACCGAGUGGAUCGACCAGCACGACUUACCCCACCGAAUGUGCUGUGAAUUGAAAGGUUUUAAAGGCCAAAGGGUUUAAAAUUUUAAAAACCUUCACCUUCUCUCAUUUCAAACUCUUGUACCCUUUCACCAUAUUGUUGAUCUUUAUUAUUUUAUCGUUUUACCUGUAUUUUGUGUGAAAUCAUUCUCAGAAUUUGGGAACUUUACCGCCUAGCUAUUCAAACUCUAAAUUCGGCAUAUUAGUGUGUUUUCCGAACCCUGUACUUUAAGUUUGUGGUUGAACUCGAAUGCAAUAGGUAAAUUUAUUGUUUUUCGAUGUUGGGUAAUUGCGAUAAUCGUGUUUAAUGAGUUAGAUUGCCGUACUUUGUGGUUGAACUUGAAGUGGCUGAAUUUGGGCUUAAUUAUCGAGCAGGAGAUGGCCAUGAGGGCCAAGUAGCGCUAGACGUCCCUUCCUUUUUCAGUAUUGAUCACAAAGUUGCGUUGUCGGGCAAGAGUUCCUCGUGAUGAGAAGAGGGAUUUUGAUGUUACACCCGCAUCGUCCACCGACAUCCGGUGCAUCGAGGCCGAGUAUACAUCGAAUGAGGCUGAUAGGUGGAGAGCAGCUCCGGUGGAUACAUCCCCGGAGGUUGAUAUCAAUAUAUUACCUACAGAGGCAGCCUUGCCUACUAUGACCUCUGGGCCUUCAAGUACUUCUAGUUCCACUCCUUCCCAGGCCCCGAGUUCGUCUGUUGCUCUCCUGCCACCUAGAGCUACUAUUGGUUCUACUGCGUCUAUGCCUUCGAUCACCCAAGCCAUGCUCCUCAAGAUGAGGCACUUGGCCCUUUCUGCCGAUGAGCACGCUUCCCGGCUAGAGGCCGAGGUUCCCUGGAUGAUUGAGAGAGUUAUUACUACUGCACUGACACCUUUCAGGGAGUCCAUUGCUACUCUCACAAUGAGAGUCAAGGUUUGUGAGAGAGGGCAGGGGGUUAUUGAGGCAGUGACGACUUUGAAAGCUGAUGUUUCUGAGCUGAGAAAGGAUGUGGACCAUUUGAAGUCCACAGACUUCACUUUGCUUUUUGGGACGGUGGAGAUCCCAGAUGAUCUGAGCAUUGAGGUUCUAGCUUGUGAUUAGGUACCUUCGGCUACCACUGGAUAUGAUACUAAGGCUGAUGUUGUUGUUGCUGAGUCCGAGGCCGAGAUAGAUAAGGAGCAGCUUGAGGUGCGAGAUAAGGCUGUUUAUGAGGACCUAGCUGAUCUAGAGGGUGCCAUGUUCGAGACAGCUAGACAGGCCUCCUUGAGAGAUACUUUUGUGGAAAAAUCUAGUAGAGCCAAUGAUGAUGAACCUCGAGCACUGAUUCCCCGACAGAUGGAGCGACUGGGAUGCAUAUGUCACCCCAGGCUUAGCCUGGCAGGAUUUUCCCUCCUUCUCUGUUAUUUUGUGAUACUCUUUUCUUGUUUAGUUGAAUUUGAGGACAACUGCUUCUUUUUGUUGGGUGGGGUGAGGUAUUUCCAUACCUACCUCUUGUGAUUUUAACUUGUUUGUGAAUAUUUGGCUUAUUAUGUUGAUAUAUAUGUGUUUUGAUCUUGAUCUUGUGGAUGUUUUAGCUUGUGGCCCAUUGUUUUGACUAAAAAUGGUUUGGAACCUAAUUUAAAUUUUUGCCACCUCUUUUAUGUGUUAUUGUGGCUAUUUUUGUACGAAUUUGAGUGUCGGUUGUGAUCAAUAUCGAUGACUUGAAUAGUGCUCUUAAUUGAACGAAAUGAAUGUGCGGCUACGAUGAGGAAAACGAAGGUGCAUAGACAACAUGUGAACUUUUCGCAUCUCGUUGUGACUAGCUAGUUGUCGAAUGAGUCUCUUGUGAUGAACAUUGCAUGCUAGCUAGAAGGUGUCGAGUCUUGUUCCAUAUUGGUACCAAUGCCUUGCCAGAUGAGAUUACUUUGAACAUUGUGUGUGAUGAGUACACCUACCAUUUACCCCGUUAGUCCGGUUGAUUGAGUGAUUCACGCACUUGAAAUGAUCUUCGGCAACAAUUAUUAAGAGUUAAAACCAUUUGAAAAUAUACCUCCUUUGUAGCCAAACUUGUGAGAUGUGUGAAUUUUGCGUGGCACCUUUUGAGUCUUGCCCUUUUUCUUGAAAGAAACUUGACCAAACUGUGACUUCUCUUUGUCCAUUCACCCAUAACUUUCAUGAAGUAUGUUUUGUUUGGAUAGCCAACUUAGACAAAAAGCCUAAGUUGGGGUGCGGUGAAAAGAGAAGGAAAGUCAAGAAGCGUGAAAAAUCCUCCUUUGUGUGAUUGAUUUGAAAAAUAUGGAAUCCCUCCAUGUAAGAAAAAAAGAGAAGAGAAAAUAGAAAAGGAACUGAAAAAGAAGAAAGAAAAGAAAAUAACGAAAAGUUUGUGAAAUAAAGUAGUGAAAAUUCCACAAGAAAUGGGGUAUCUGGUGGUUCAUAUGAAGUUGAAUAAGGGGGGGGGAUUAUGAGAAUGUUUGAAAUGAUUAAGAAAAAAAGGAAAGUGAGGUUCAGACCAUACUUCAAGAAGGUAGAAGCCACUAAGCCUAAAUGACCAUACCUUUGCACUCAACCUAGUUACAAGCCUUGAAAAGACCUUGGUGAUCUUAAGUGAGCUGAAACGAAUGUUGAUUGGAAAAUAAGGGAAAACCUAUAGGUGAAGUCAUGCAUGUGUUCAUCUUUGUGAGUGUGAGAGUUUUCUGUGAUUCUGGGAUUUUAAAUUGUUGAGAAUUUAUGUGCGAAUAUGGAAUCAACUUUGGUGUGAGGGGAUCUGAGUAUGUUUUUUGAGCUUGAACUUGCAUUUGAAACAAGUAUUGUGAACUUGAGCAUCUUUGAUAAUGGUGAGUUACAAUUUGAACCUUUGAGUGCACAAUUAAUCAUUGUUUGAGUAAUUUGAACCUUGUUGUGUGCAUUUAUGUUGAGUCUUAUGCAACACUAUUUGUAGACAUCCUUAUUGAACUGGUGAUUUUGAGUUUUACUUGAGGACAAGCAAAAGUUUAAGUUGGGGGUGUUGAUGAGUCCGAGAUUUGAACUCAUUUAGGGCUUUAUUUUGGUAGUUUUAGUUUUCUCAAAUGCCUAAUUUGUGCUAUAAACUUAUAUUAAAGCCUUGAUUUUCAUGUAUGUGGACUAAGGAGCAAAGUAAGGACACUAACAUGCAAAAAGGAACAAAACAAGUUGAAGAAGUGGAGAAAAACAAUCUUGGUUAUCGCCCAAAGUUUCAGUGUGCCAGCCCUGAAGGAAGAAACCAAGGCAGUCGGUGAAUCGUCGAUCAGUUCCGUGAAGACAAGACAGAUCACCCAAAGUUACAGGAUUUGAGGAUGUUGAGAACCAAUGCAUAAUGGCGAUCGAAGAGAGUAAAUGGUGUGUCAUCGAACCACUCGACGACCCCGACUUACCUCGCUGAAUGGCCUUUCGUGGCUAACUUUUGAGAAACUAUAAAUUGAAUUUUAAAUGUAAUUUUGUGGAGCUCUUACACAGUCCUUUCCUAGAUACUACAGUUCCCAUUCUUGACUUAGAGUUUUCUCUAGUUUUUUGAGAUAGAAUUGUACAAUUUUGAAGGAUUUUGCAAAUGGGUUACUAAUUUUCUUCAAUUUAGACCAUUGUAAAGGCUUGAAUACUCUUACCCAGAUGAUGUCUAAUGCAUUUGGUAACCGUUUUUUUAAUUUUUAUGAUGUGUGGUUAAAGCCCCAAUUCUUGGGUUGUUAUUAUGUCAUUAUGGGUUGAAUUAGAUUAUGAGUAUUGCUUAUUACUAAUUUAAAUGCAAUAUUGAAGUGGGUUUAAUCAUUAGCUGUGUUUUUAUUUAUGAAUUGUAGUUGCUAAUGCAGUUCUAACUUUGUGUUCGUGGCUUGCUCGAGAGAGAGGUUUUGAUACCAAAGAUUUCGAUUAAUAGUUUAUGGGUAUUGGGUUUAUCUGUGUUCAGCUCGAGUGAGUGAAUCCUAAACCCAAUCCUACCCAUCUUGCUCGAGAGAGAGGAUAUAUUAAGGUUGUAGGUUGUUCUUAUUUGUUAAGCUUGUUGAUGUUCGAGAGAAAUCACUUAAACCGAAGUAGUUGUUUGAGAGAAAGCUAUUUCACUGAUAGCCCAGUCUACCCACUGAUAUUUAGCUAAUUAUUAGUAGUUUCAAUUACCCAUAUAGAGAAAUUUUCCUAUAUUCAAUCACAUCCCGAGAACCCCUCUCUAUAUUGUUAUUUCGGUUUUGUGUGAUUGCUUUGUAGCUGAUAAUUGCAAACCAAUUUCCCUCAUCUGACAUUUAUUGUCACCCCCUAUUUGACUUGUUUACAUAUGUUUUUUUGAUAAUUUCUAUUCUUAUACCUUAUUGGAUCACAUUUGUACUUCCUAAUUGAAUUUGAACACGUACCGCUCUCUGUGGGUUCGACCCAAGUCUUUGUUGGGUUUUAUGGUGCUUAACGAUUGUUUGCACGUAGAAUUGGAUGAGGUGUGGUUGAAACGUUAAUCAAAAUGGUGCCGCUCUCAAGGAGUGGUGUUGUUUAAAAAUCUUUUAGUGAAGUUAAAUUGUGAUCUCUUUAGUUGUAGUUGAAUCUACCUACUCUAGUUUUUUGUUUUCUGUUGCUUGUGUUGAACAUAAGAAGAGAUGAGCGUAAAUGGAAGUGGUGGUAGUCAAGUGGGCCACCAAGAUGAUAUCAGGAACCUCAAUGAUGUCAAUGAACAAAAUGUCAAAGACCCAAUCCAAGUGGAUGGUGUUGGUGCCAUUCGUUUACCUCCGGCUGAAGGAAACGUUGAUUUUCUCAUCACUAGCACAAUGCUUCAGCUCUUACAAUUGAAUGGAUUAUUUAAAGGGAUGGCUCAUGAGGAUCCCCAUGAGCAUAUCAUGAACUUCGUGGAUGUUUGUGGACCGUUCUCAUUUAAGAACAUAUCACAAGAAUCGGUCCGUCUCAGGUUGUUUCCAUUCUCUUUGAUGGGUGAAGCUACUAAGUGGUUGGCUGAGUUACCGAGGGACUCCAUCACCUCUUGGGAUGAACUGACCACAACAUUCCAAGUGAGAUUCUUUCCCCCAUCGAAGAUGAUGACUCUAAGAGAUGGCAUCCAAGGUUUCUAACGCUUGGAAGGUGAGCCAAUCCAUGAGACAUGGCUGAGAUUUAAGAAGCUUGUGCUUUAGUGCCCAACUCAUGGACUUCCAAAUACUGUGUUGCUGCAACACUUUUAUUUGAGUCUCGAUUCGGUGAACAAAGGAGUGGCUGAUUAACUUUCCCCUGGUGGUAUAAUGCAACAGCCCUAUGAAGUAGCAACCCAACUCCUUGAUUGCAUGACAUAGAUUAAUAGGGCAUGGUACACUCGUGAAGACCAAGUCUCUCCUCUCACUUUUAAAAUGACAAAAGCGCAGAUCGCAAAGGACCAAGAGAGAGACCAGAACAUGGACAAAAUAAUUACCCAGCUAGAUAUCUUGGCUAAAAAUGUCAUUGGUGUUGGUACAAAAAGUGUUAAUGUUGUGAGUGUUGGUGGAGUAAACGCCAAUGAAGCACGAUUUAAAGCGAUGUACAAUGAGGAAGUGAACUUCCCAGCCAAUCAAGAAGGAGGUUAUCAUGCAAACUACCUAAGACCAAGUGGAAAUCAAGGUUGGAAUAGAGAUGAGGGCUGGAGAGACCGUGAUAGAGAUUGGCGUGAUCGUAACGCCACCUGGAAGAAAGAGACAGGGACAAGGACAUGUAUGUCCUUCCCCAUGAGCGUUAAAAGCCCAAGGAAUCUGAAGGUGGCCGUACAGAAGAUAUUCUCUCACACAUUCUCAGCAGAGUUGAAGGGUCAGAAAAAGUGUUGAAAGAGAUGAAAGAGGAUGUCUCAACUCUAAAUCAGACGGUGACCUCUCACUCAGUCUCUAUUAAGAAAAUGGAGACCCAAAUGGAUCAAAUUUCUUCUUAUUUGAAUCCAAGACAACAAGGGGGGUUGCCUAGUGACAAAAUGGCAAACCCCAAAAAUGAAGCUUGGUUUAGUAUACUCAUCGUGCGAGGACGUUAACUAAGGCGCUCCUUGGGAGGCGACCCAAGUUUUUAAUGCUUUAGUUUUUUUAUUUUGAAUAAUGGGUGUUGAUUUUGCAGGUUGAAAAGUGAAGAGUUUUGGAAAAUGGGUAGUUUGGCGAGCCCAGAGUCCAUUAGGCGGCACGCUGAACAGGUCGGCAUGCCCCGACUUGGACCGCUGUUAGACCCACCAAGCUUGAAGGGGAACUUUGUAAAAUUCGGCGGGAAAAAUUCUUGAUCGGCGACCCACUAAACAGGUCAGCGAUCCCGAUUUUGUCCGUCGUUUGUGUUACGACCCGGAAAACUAGUAGGUGAAACUAAAGUCUUACGAGUGUGUUGUUGAGUUUGAUGUGGGGUUUUAUGUUGUAAAAUGAGUUCCCGAGCUUAGGUUUAGGGGUUCAGGGGUUAAACGUCAAGGUACGACCCCCCAAGGACCAACCAAGGGUCCUUGAGGAGGACCCUAAAGCCUAACCCCAAGGCUGCCCCAAGAACCAAAAAAAGCUGUCAAAAAUCAUAGGACCUACGGAUCAGACCUAUGCCCAGUAGGUCAAUCCACUCCCCGUAGGGCUUGGUCGUAGGUCAAGAACUCUAGAUGAGGAGUCUCUGAACCAAACCACAGACCUUUAGGACGGGGCAUCACCCCACUCACCGUCCGUGGGUUGGUAGGCGUGAGUCUUACUUGGAAAUCUGCCCUAGCUCGGCUACUUGAGGGGCAACUUAGUAAAUUCCUAGGGUGGUUAGUUGAGUUAGGGGUCGGUUUAUUUUGAUUAUUUAGAGUUAUUUAAGGCUUUUUAGACUAUUAAACACCCUUUUACAAUUCGUUAUUCCCAAAAACUCAAAAAUAGAAACUAGCUCCUCUCAAAAUAAUUCUCUCUCUAGAAACCUCCAUUGGAGAAGAAGAAGUCAAGGUUUGGAGUUCAAGAGUUCAUAUUUCUCACUCAAUUUCGUGGAGUUUCUUCAAUCAAGGUAUAGUAGUUUUCAUCUUUGGGUAGAUUCCACCCAAUGAUUCCUUCUAAACAUGAUUUCAAAGCUUCCAAUUUCCCCCAAAAGAUAGGGUUUCAAUCUAAGUCACGGGUUCAGCUUCAAAACGUUUUCAAUGAUUGUUUUAUGGUGAAUUAUUAUUGAAUUGAGGAAUUAAUGUUGAUUUAUGAUAAAAAUUCCCCCAUGAACCCAUGAUUCCCCCAAAAUACUAAAUUGUGAAUUUGUUGUUUGGGAUUGAUUGAUUAUGGAAGCAUAUGAAGAGAUUAAGUCUAUAUUGAUUUAGUUUAUUGAAUUAUGUCAUUAUUAAUUCCUAAAUUGUAGUAUUCUAGGUUUUUUGGUGAAUUGUGAUUCAUGGCCUUGAAGGGGCAAAGUAUGAAGAAUUGAUGUAUAAUCGUGAUGCUAUGUAAAUGCUUUGUGAUUUCAAUGAAAGUAAUGUGAUCAUGUCUACAAUGCAAUUGUGUUAUUAUUGGAAGAGUAUGCUCAAUUAUAUACUUAUGAAUGAUGAUGAUAUAUGUGAAAGGUUUCUUCAAUGUAAUGAUACAUCUUGAAUUGGUAGGGUUAAGGCAUCCUCUUCUUGUGUACCUAAUGUAUCUUGAUUUAAUGAACAUUGAAUCGGUAGACCUAAUGGUGGUAGCCCUUUCAUAAAUGAUUAAUGAAGUAUUCUAAUGAAGUGUCUUGGAUCGGUAGGUUAAUGGCACCCUUCCAUGUAUGUUUAUAAUGAACUUUGGAUCAGUAGGCUAAUGGCACCCUUCCAUGAAUGGAAAUGAUGAACCUUGAAUCGGUAGGCUUAUGGCACCCUUUUAUGAGGAUUCAAUGAGCUUUCCUAAAAAUGUACCUUGAAUCGGUAGGCUUACGGCGCCCUUUCAUGUGUUAACUAAUGCACUUUGAAUCGAUAGGCUUAUGGCGCCCUUUCAUGCAUUAAUCAAUGUAACUUGGGUCGGUAGGCCAAUGGCACCCUCUCAUGUGUAAUACUGUUUAUAAGGAUGAACUACUCUAUGGGAAUGUAAGCUUAGCACCGAGUGGAUAUGGUAAAAUGGUAGCUCUGCCCAUGUUUAGCUCGGGUUUCAAUGAACAUCUUCCUUAUCCCAUAACUAUGUACCUGCAUAGUUUAUUUGCUAGUGGAUCCACCUAAGCUAAAAUGUUACCGGUCCUACCUUAGACAAGUAGACCAACCCUUUACGGUGUGAAUUAGACACCGAAUUCCAUGAGUUGCUCACAUGGUCUAUAUCGGUUAAUGCUUAUUCCCAUCAUGUGAGUUAUGUGCUAUGGUUACUUGAGAGGUUCUAUGAAGUGUGGGUGGUAGUAUGGGAUGCCAUCCAUGCAUUGCACAAGUAGGCUUUGAGAGAGCUAUGGUGUGUUUAUCUAAUGUCCUAAUGUGUAAUGAAAUGAAUGUGCUCCUAAUGAAGCUAAUGGGAAUGUUGACUUAAAGGCUUAAUGUAAUGAUGCAUGCUUAACUUGGAUUGUUAUUAUGAGUGGCUUUCCUUGUCAUGACUUAUUAAAUGUGAUGAUCCUUAUGCAUGAGUAUUGACUAAAGAUGAGUAUGAAUAGUGGUAAGUUCAUCUAUGGUGGCCUCAAAGUGGUACUUAGUAAGAGUAGUAUGAGAUGCUAUUCUUACAUUGCACAAGUAUAGCAUAGGGUUACUUAAGCUGAAAGUACUAAUGUGUUGUAAUGGCUUAUAUGUUGAAUAUGUUGUAUCUUAUGCCUUUUGUACUAAAGUUCAUGAUGUUUUCUCAAAUUGGCAUUUAGCAUGGUUUUCAACCAAAAUGUCCUUUUUAAAGCAUGCUUUUUGCAUGGCUAUCAUACUUCGUACAUUUUUGUGUGCUAACCCAUAUUUCUUCUAGUUUACUACAAAGUGUAGGUUCCGGCAUUUGAAGUGAUCCUUCUAGUCGAAGCUUGGAUCAAUUUCUUCCAAAGCUUGUGGUGUGUCCUCAUGGAUCCGAGGACAAGUGCUUUAUUGAUAUUUCAUGUCUUUCAUUGUACUAGAUACUUUUUAAACUUUCUAUUGUAAAGGGCCGUGACCCUAUUUUGAGACCUCUAUUGUAGUAGAUGGCUAUGUGAGACUAUGUCUAGAUUUCCGCUGUUUUAAAUAAAGUUUUUAGAUUGUAUGGAUUGAAAGUUUUAAAUUCUGCACUAUUUCCUAUGUUCUUAUGUGAUGAUAUGGUAUGAGGCUUGUAUGAGAUUUUUUGGAGUCUUGUACGUCGUGUUACGUAUGGGGUGUAGGCUCGAGGUGUAACAGUUUGAACCCCUAAAUUGCUGGGAGUCCUGUAAACCUCGGUGAGGUAAAAUACCACUUGGCGCAUCGCCGAGUGGAUCGACAAUCACGACUUACCCCACAGAAGGUGCCGCGAACUGAAAGUUUUUAAAGGCCAAACGGUUUAAAAUUUCAAAAUCCUUCACCUUCUCUAAUUUCAAACUCUCGUACCCUCUCACAAUAUUGUUGAUCUUCAUUAUUUUAUCAUUUUGCCCACAUUUUUGUGUGAAUUCAUGCUCGAAAUUGGGGAACUUUGCCGCCUAGCUAUUCAAACUCUAAAUUUGGCAUACAUGUUGGUUUUCCGAACACCGUAGUUUAAGUUUGUUGUUGAACUCGAAUGCAAUAGGUAAAUUUAGUGUGGUUUGAUGUUGGGUAAUCGCUAUAAUUGUGUUUGAUGUGUCUAAUUGUCGUAUUUUGUUGAAAUGUGUGCCUAAAUGCUUUAAAAUUGAUCGAUUCCCGUGUUUUAUUUGUUAAAAUUGGGUUUAAAUUUUUGUGUUGUGGUUUAUUUGUGUUGGGUCUAGUGGGGUGAAAUCUAAGUAACCCCGAAUUGUGCCAAAUAAUGUAAUUUGCCCAAUGAUGAAGCGUUUGACGUCAUUCUUAAGGGCAAAGUCGUCAAAUAGCCAUUUUUGGCCAAAUCGAGGGAAGUCUGAGUACCCAGAGGCAUGGGUCUAACUUUAAUUGAAUAGUGUUUGUGUUUGAUUUUUAAUUCGGGGGCUGCAAGAUUGAUUUUGAAGCUUGGGGUUGAAAACUGUCCCGUUGGGCCGUUUGGCGAGCUUCGUCGAGUUCACCUAGUGAUUCGGUGGUUCGCCGUAGUCCCCCUCAUAUCGCCCUUAAUAUCAAAUUGUAGUUGAGUUUGUUCUAUAACUUUUGGUGAUAUGCAUGAGCUCGCCGAGUUCACUCAGCGACUCGUCGAAGGGUUUUCUUGAUCGCCCUUUCUGCUCCCCUAACCUUAAAAUACAUUGUAACUUUCGGUGAGCUACUUCUAGCUCACCGAUUGCUAUCGGAAAUUCCCUAAAUUGCCAUGAACAUCACUGACCUGUCUUGAUUCUAGAAAAUUUUUGCACUGGUACUUUCGGUGAGCCCGAUAUGGCUCACCUAAGUGACUCGGUGACUCACCGACUUGUUCGGUGACUCACGACUUGUUCAAUGAGUCUUUUGGCACCUAUAUCUAUGCAAUAUUUCUGGAGCUUUUUCUAACAUUAUCCUAUGUGUUUUGCAGGAAUGGCUAGAAUAAACUUGGAUGAUAGUGGCAUGCCACCCCAAAAUCAAGCACGAGGGAUGGUGAUAUAUGAGGAAGCAGUUGCUUCCAGCGCAAAAGGAAAGUAGUUACCUCCAAAGGGAGGCAAGGGUAAGGGAGAAGCGCCCAUAGCUGAGACAUCGGAGUACAACUCCGGCAGUGAGGGAGAGUCACAUGAUUCUCAAGCUUCAUUCUCUAAGCUUGAGGAUGACCAGUCAUUACAGGCCCGGCGAGCAGAGCUUCCUUCCAAAGCUCGUCAUGAUCCAUCUAGGAUUCCAGAGCUGACCUCUCAUUCUUCAGAUUCAGUGCCAGCUCCAGCAUAGACGGUGGUUUCAGCACCACCAGUUCAGGGUCCUCCUCCCGGGUUACUCAACCAGUUAAAGGCCGAGGGAUUGAGAACCAUCUUAGAAGCGAAAAUAUUGUCCACGAAUGGUGUAGUGGAAUGGCAUCCAAAUAUGUGGGACACUCUUUGGUUCCACAUAUUCGAUAUUUUCACCAGGCCCUGUGGCCCAUACAUUCCCACCUGGGUGCUGGAGUUUUAUGCUACUUAUGGUGAUCUGGUACCCCAAGGAAAGAAGAAGGCCAGUGCCUUCAGACUGGUAGAGUCUCUGAUGGUCCGAGGGAAGCAAGUGAGAUGCAGUAGUAAUGAGAUCAAUACUAUGUUUGAGAGAGCUACAUACACUGAGCACGAGUACCAGAGUUUGAUCACUACAAAGACUCUGGAUGACAUGAAGGGUUGCCUAGCCUCCUUGGUCUCUUACACCACCCUAAGGUGGAUUGAGGAUGGAAUGCCUAUAGAUAAGAAGGACAUGAACAUAGCAUCUUGGUAUUGGUUUGGAUUCAUCAACGGGAUAGUCAUGCCGUUGCAGAAUGAUACCAUUCUCUGCCACCCAAAUGUGGCCUAUCUCGGGUCUAUCAUAGUAAGAAAACGUCUGAAUUUGGGCUUGAUUAUUGAGCAAGAGAUGGCCAUGAGGGCCAAGUAGUGCCAGACGUCUAUUCCCUUUCUAGUACUGAUCACAGAGUUGUGCUGUCGGGCAGGAGUUUCUCGUGAUGAGAAGUGGGAUUUUUAUGUUUCACCCACAUCAUCCACCGACAUACGGCUCAUAGAGGCUGAGUAUGCACAAGAUGAGGCUGAUAAGAGGAGAGCAACUCCGGUGGAUACAUCCUCGGAGAUUGAUAUCGACACAUUACCUACAGAGCCAGCCUUGCCAACUCUGGCCUACGGGCCUUCAGGUACUUCUAAUUCCACUCCUUCCCAGACCCCAAGUUUGUCUGCUGCUCCCCGCUACCUAGAGCUACUGCUCGUUCUACUGCCUCCAGACAUCCGAUUACCCAGGCCAGGCUCCUUAAGAUGGGGCACUUAGCCCGUUCUACCGAUGUGAGAGCUUUCCGGCUAGAGGUCGAGGUUCCCUGGAUGAUUGAGAGAGCUAUUACUGCUACACUAACACCUCUCAGGGAGUCCAUUGAUGCUCUCAUAGUGAGAGUUGAGGUUUAUAAGAGAGGGCAGGGAUUACGGAGAUGGUGAAAGCUUUGAAAGUCGAUGUUUCUGAGGUGAGGAAGGAUAUGGACCAUCUGAAGUCCACUGACUUCACUUCACUUUUUGGGAUGGUGGAGAUCCCAGAUGAUCCGAGUGUUGAAGUUCCAUCUUGUUCUGAGGUACCUCCAGCUACCACCGAAAAUGAUACUAGGGCUGAUAUUAUUGCUGCUUAGUCCAAGGUCGAGACAGAUGAGGAGCAACUUGAGGUGCGAGAUGGGGUUUUUUAUGAGGACUUGGCUGAUCUAGAGGCUGUCAUGUUCGAAACAGCUUGACAGGCCUCCUUGAGAGAUACUUCUUUGGCAGGCUCCAGUAGAGCCAAUGAUGAGGAGACCCCGGGCACUAAUGCCCCGACAGAUGGAGCACUAAGAUGCAGAAGUCACCCUAGGCUUAGCCUGGCAGGAUUUUUCCCUCCCUCUCUAUUAUCUAGUGAUACUCUAUUCUUGUUUUAGUUGCAUUUAAGGAUAACUGCUUCUUUUUGUUGGGUGGGGUGAGGUAAUUCCAUGCCUACCUCUUGUGAUUUUAACUUGUUUGUGACUAUUGGGCUUAUUUUUGUUGAUAUAUAUGUGUUUUGAUAUUGAACUUGUGGAUGUUUUAGCUUGUGGCCCAUUGUUUUAACUGAAAAUGGUUUGGAACCUAAUUUCAAAUUUUUGCCGACUUUUUUGUGUGUGAUUGUGGUUGUUGUUCUUGUGAAAAUUUGAGUGUCAGUUGUGAUCAAUACCAAUGACUUGAAUGAUAUGAAUGUGCGGUUACAAUCAGGCAAACAAAGUUGCAUAGACAAUAUGUGAACUUUUAGCAUCUCGUUGUGACUAGCCGGUGUUCGAAUGAGUCUCUUGUGAUGAACUUUGCAUGCUAGCUAGAAGGUGUGGAGUCUUGUUUGAUGUUGGUACCAAAGCCUUGACUGAUGAGAUAACUUUGAAAAUUGUGUGUGAUGACACCUAGAAUUUUCCCCGUUGGUCCGGUUGAUUGAGUGAUGCAAGCACUUGAUAUGAUCUUAGGCAACCAUUGUGAAUAGUGAAAACAAUUUGACAAUAUACCUCUUUUGUGGUGAACAUUCUGAGAUGUGUGAACUUUUCUUGUCACCUUUUGAGCCUUGCCCUUUUUCUUGGAAGAAACUUGACCAAAUUGUGACUUCUCUUUGCCCAUUCAUCCAUAACUCUCAUGAAGUAUGUUUUGUUUGAAUAGUCAACUUAGGCCAAAAGUCUAAAUUAGGAGUGUGGUGAAAAGAGAAGGAAAGUCAAGAAGUGUGAAAAAUCCCCCUUUGUGUGAUUGAUUUGAAAAUGAUGAACCCAUCCAUGUAAAAAACAGAAAAGAGAAAAGAGAAAAGGAAUUGAAAACGAAGAAAGAAAAGAAAAAGACCGAAAAAUUUGUGAAAUAAAGUAGUGAAAAUUGCAAAAGAAAUGGGAUAUCCGGUGGGUCAUAUGAAGUUAAAUAAUGGGGUGGAUUAUGAGCAUGUUUGAAAUGAUUAAGAAAUGAAUGAAACUGAUGUUCUGACCAUCCUUCAUGAAGGUAGAAGCCACCAAGCCUAAAUGACCAUACCUUUGCACUCAGCCCCGUUACAAGCCUUGAAAAGACCUUUGUAAUCUUGAGUGAGCUGAAACGAAUGUUGAUUGGAAAAUAAGGGAAAAUAUAUGGGUGAAGUCAUGCAUGUGUUCAUCUUUGUGAGUGUGAGAGUUGUAUGUGAUUCCAUGAUUUUAAAUUGUUGAGAAAAUUUGUGUGAAUAUGGAAUCAUCUUUGGUGUGAGGGCAUUUGAGUACCUUUGUUGAGCUUGAACUUGCAUUUGAUGCAAGUAUUGUGAACUUGAGCAUCUUUGAUAAUGGUGAGUCACAAUUUGAACCUUUGAGUGCACAGUUGAUCAUUGUUUGAGUAAUUUGAACCUUGUGUGCAUUUAUGUUGAGUCUUAUGCAACACUAUUUGUAGACAUCCUUAUUGAACUGCAGAUCUUGAGUUUUACUUGAGGACAAUCAAAAGUUUAAGUUGGGGGUGUUGAUGAGUCCAAGAUUUGGACUUAUUUAGGGCUUUGUUUUGGUAGUUUUAGUGUCCUCAAAUGCUUAAAUUGUGCUAUAAACUGAUGUUAAAGCCUUGAUUUUCAGGUACGUGGACUAACGAGCAAAGUAAAGACACUAACAGGAAAAAAAGAACAAAACAAGUUGAAGAAGUGGAGAAAAGCAAUCUUGGUUAUCGCCAAGACCACUCGGCGAAUUGCCAAGUGGCUCUUCAGACCGCCCAAAGUUCCAGUGUGCCAGCCCAGAAGAAAGAAACCAAGUUGGCCACAAAAAAAGGAAAUUCGCUAAUCGCCGAUCAGUUCCGCAAUGACAAGAUGGAUCUCCCAAAGUUAUAGGACUUGAGGAUGCUGAGAACCAAUGCAUAACGGUGAUAGAAGAGAGCCAAUGGUGUGUCGCCGAACCACUCAACGACCCCGACUUACCUCACUGAAUGGCCUUUCAUGGAUAAUUUUUGGGAAACUAUAAAGGAAAUUCUAGAUGUAAUUUUAAGGAGCUCUUACACAGUCCUCUUCUAGAUACUAAAGUUCCCAUUCUAGACUUAGAGUUUUCUCUAGAUUUUUGAGUUCAAAUUGUACAAUUUUGGAGGAUUUUGCAUGUGGGUUACUAAUUUUAUUCAAUUUGGACCAUUGUAAAGGCUUGGAUACUCUUACCCAUAUGAUGGCUAAUGCAUUUGGUAACCGUUUUUCUAUUUUAUGAUGUGUGGCUAAAAUGCUAAUUCUUGGGGUGUGAUUAUGUGAUUAUGGGUUGAAUUAGCUUAUGGGUAUUGCUUAUUACUAAUUUAAAUGUUAUAUUGAAGUGGGUUUAAUCACUAGCUAUGUUUUUAUUUAUGAAUUGUAGUUGCAAAUGCAGUUCUAACUUUAUGUUCUUGGCUUGCUCGAGAGAGAGGUUUUGGAACCAAAGCUUUCGAUUAAUGGUUUAUGGGUAUUGGGUUGGUCUGGGUUCUGCUCGAGAGAGUGAAUACUAAACCCUAUCCUACCCAUCUUUCUCGGGAGAGAUGAUGUAUUAAGGUUGUGGGUUGUUCUUAUAUGUUAAGCUUGUUGAUGUUCAAGAGAAAUCACUUGAACUGAAGUAGUUGUUCGAGAGAAAGCUAUUUCACUCAUAGCCCAGACUACCCACUAAUAUUUAGCUAAUUAUUAGUAGUUUCAAUUACCCAUAUAGCAAACUUUGCCUAUAAUUGAUCACAUCCCGAGAACUCAUCUUUAUAUUGUUAUUUCAGUUUUGUGUGAUUGCUUUGUACCUGAUAAUUGCAAACCAAUUUCCCCUAUUUGAAUUUUGUUGUCACUCCCUGUUUGACUUGUUUACAUGUCUUUUUCGAUAAUUUCUAUUCCUAUAGCUGAUUGGAUCACAUUUGUACUUCCUAAUUGAAUUUGAACACGUACCGCUCCCUGUGGGUUCGACCCCAACUCUUUGUUGGGUUUUAUACUGCUUAACGAUCGUUUACACCUAGAAUUGGAUGAGGUGUGCUUGAAACGUUAAUCACCUAUGAGGUUUGAUGUUCUUCCGGAUGUGUUGUUAGAUCUUUUUUCGUUCUGUACUCAUGUUGGUGAUUCUAUUAUGGCUAAGAGGAUCUAUAGAAAGUGUCAUGUUUCCUUGUCCCAUAGAGUUAUUCUUGUUGACUUGGUAGACCUUGAUAUGCUAGAUUUUGAUAUUAUCCUUGGUAUGGAAUGGGUGCACUCGUGUUAUGCUUCUUUCGAUUGUAGAACUCGUGUGGUUAAGUUUCAGUUCCCGAAUGAGCCUGUCGUACAGUGGAAAGGGGGAAAUUCUAUGCCUAAGGUUCAGUUUGUCUCUUAUCUUUAAGGUAGAAAGAUGAUUUCUAAGGGUUAUAUUUACCAUAUAUUUAGGGUGAGGGACGUGGAUUCUAAGACCCCUACUCUCGAGUCGGUCCCCGUUGUUAAUGAGUUUUCGAAAAUGUUCCCUGAUGAUUUACCUGGUAUUCCUCCCGAGAGAGAAAUAGACUUUAGUAUUGACCUUAGAACCCAGUAUGGUCAUUAUGUGUUUUUGGUGUUGUCGUUUGAUUAGUCUAAUGCUCCGGCGACGUUUAUGGAUUUGAUGAAUAGGGUGUUUAGACAAUACCUUGAAAUGUUUGUGAUUGUGUUCAUUGAUGAUAUAUUUAUCUAUUCAAGGAGUGAGAAUAAGCAUAUUGAUAAUUUGAGGAUCGUGUUGCAAGUUCUUAAGGACCGACAACUCUUUGCGAAGCUUAGCAAAUGUGAGUUUUGGUUAAGGUCCGUAGCUUUCCUUGGUCAUACUUUUUCAAGGAAGGGUAUUGAGGAAGAUCCUAAGAAGGUGGAUGCGAUCAAGAGUUGGCCUAGAACUCUAACCCCUUCGGAUAUUAGAAGUUUCCUGGGUUUGGGCGGUUACUAUAGAAGGUUUACUGAGGGAUUCUCUUCAAUUGCCUCUCUUUUGACGGCUUUGACUCAAAAGAAGUCUAAGUUCAUAUGGUCUGAAGCGUGUGAGAAGAGUUUCCAAGAGUUAAAGGAUAGACUUACUUCCGCUCUGGUGUUGACUUUACCGGAAUAGACUAAUGAUUUUGUUGUCUAUUGUGAUGCCUCGAGAAUUGGGUUACGGUGUGUGCUUAUGAAAUAUAUGAAAGUGCUUGCCUAUGCCUCAAGACAACUUAAGAUUCAUGAAAAGAAUUAUCCUACACAUGACCUUGAACUAGCGGCAGUUGUUUUUGCCUUAAAGAUUUGGAGGCAUUAUCUGUAUGGUGUUCAUGCAGAUGUGUUUACCGACCAUAAAAGUUUGUCAUAUUUGUUUAAUCAGAAAGAUCUAAAUCUUCGCCAAAGAAGGUGGCUUGAUUUAUUGAAAUAUCAUGACACAAGUGUUCACUAUCACCCCAGAAAGGCAAAUGUGAUGGCGGAUUCUCUUAGUCGGUUAUCUAUGGGAAGUGUUGCUCAUAUUGUAGAAGAAAAGAAAGAGUUGGUUUGACAUGUUCAUAGAUUGGCCCGAUUGUGUGUUCGGUUAAUGGACUCUACCAAGGGUGGUGUUAUGGUCCACAAUGGUUCAGAAUCGUCUUUAGUGGUGGAUGUGAAAGCCAAGCAAGGUCUUGAUCAAAUUUUGGUUGACUUAAAAGAAGUGGUGCUUAAGAAAUCCAUUGAGGCUUUCUCCCAAGGGGGAGAUGGCGUACUUAGAUAUCAAGGUCGUUUAUGAGUUCCAAAUGUUGAUAACUAGAGGGAACGAAUCUUGUCUAAAGCCUAUAGUUCUUGGUAUUCCAUUCACCCGGGAGCGACCAACAUGUACCAUGAUUUACAGGUGGUCUAUUGUGGAAUGUGAUGAAAAAUGAUAUUGCAGAAUUUGUGACUAAGUGCCCUAAUUGUCAACAAGUAAAAGUUGAGCAUCAUAAACCGGGAGGUUUAUCCCAAGACAUUAGUAUUCCUACUUAGAAGUGGGAAGAUUUGAACAUGGACUUUAUUAUUGGUUCGUCGCGCACCCGACGACAACAUGACUCAAUUGGGGUUAUAGUAGAUCGGAUGAUGAAAUCGGCUCAUUUUUUUCCCGUCGAGGUUUCCUAUUCGGCUGAGGACUAGUCCAAGUUGUACUUGACAGAAAUGGGAAAUUUGCAUGGAGUGCCUUUGUUCAUUAUUUCUGAUCGUGGUACCCAAUUCACUUCUCUAUUUUGAGUGUCUUUCCAAUAGGGUCUUGGUACUCAUAUUAAGCUUAGUACAACCUUUCUUCCCCAAACCGAUGGGCAAGCAUAGCUUUCUAUCCAAACUUUGGAAGACAUGUUAAGGGCUUGUAAGAUUGAUUUUAAGGGUAAUUGGGAUGACUAUUUGCUAUUGAUUGAGUUUGCUUAUCACUCAAGUAUUGAUAUGGCUCAAUUUGAGGCAUUAUAUGGUACGAGGUGUAGAUCUCCUAUACGAUGGUUUGAGGUGGGUGAAGUUUCCCUAAUAGGUCCCUAGGUUGUACAUGAGGCCAUAGAGAAAGUUCAACUUAUUAGGGAAAGGGUGAGAACGGCUAAAAGUGGACAAAAGUCAUAUGCCGAUGUAAGAAGAAGGAAUUUUAAAUUUGAUGUGCAUGAUUAGAUUUACUUGAAAAUUUCACCCAUGAAUGGUGUAAUGUGUUUUUGUAAGAAAGGGAAGAUUAGUCCUUGAUAUAUAAGCCCAUAUCAUAUUUUGAGACGCGUUGGUAAGGUUGCUUAUGAGCUAGAUUUGCCAAAUGAGUUGCCAUCAGUGCAUCCAGUUUUCCAUGUCUCUAUGUUAAAUAAAUGUUUUGGUUAUCCAACAUCCAUAGUUCCAUUAGAAGGUUCGGGAGUUAAAGAGAAUCUUUCUUAUGAAGAAAUUCCGAUCGAAAUUUUAGACCGCCAAGUCAAGAAGUUCAGGAAUAAAGAAGUAGCUUCCAUGAAAAUGUUGUGGAGGAAUCAGUUAGUUAAGGGUGCUACUUGGGAGGCUGAGGUCGAUAUGAUGUCCAGAUAUCCUCAUCUCAUUCCUUUUACUCCUCCUCUAGCUUGAGGUAAUGAGUUUCUCAUGGUUUUUUCAUUUUUGGAGUCAUGUGUCUUGUAUGUUUCCAUGAUUUCCUUACUAUGCAUGAUUUAUGAAAGGUUCAUGUUUUGAGAAAAUGAGUCAAUUUGAUUGAUUUCUACAUGUUUAUAUGCACAUGAGUAUGAAUUGCAUGUAGACUACUUGAUAUGAUGCGGUGAGCAUGCCUUUAGCUUAGAGUUGAUAUGUAUUCCUUGAAUAUAUGCAUUUGAGUAUUUUUUUUAUCUUAGAGUUGAUGUUCCCUCCUCGAAUGUUAGCUUGGAGAUGAUGUUUUCUCCUCGGAUAAGUUCAUUGCAUGCAUGAUGGGCAGUUAGAUUUAGUUUCACCCCUCUUAUAAUGUUUUGAUUACGUCUUAGCUUGGAGUCGAUACUUCCGCUUGGUUAUAUACAUUGCAUUGAUGGUUGGGUGGUUAGUUCUUCUUCUACUCUCUUCGUACUAGCUUGAAUCUCCUUCAAGGAAGAAUGAUCCCAAGGGGGAGAUAUUGUAACACCUCGGAUUCAAAAAGGGUAAUAAGGCAAGUUUCAGAGAUUUCAGUUAUCAGCCACGAGGGCCAACCACGGCCCAUGUAUGGGAUCACGAACCAUCGGUAUGGCUCGUGAACUGGGUGAUGAGUUUGAGAUUUUGACUCAUUUACGGCUUUUUUUUGAUAGUUUAAGUGUCCUCAAAUGUCUAAUUUAUACUCUAAACUGAUGUUAAAGUGUUGAUUUGCAGCUAUGAAGGCUAAGGAGCAAGGCAAAGACAAUAUCGGGCAAAGAAACGAACAACAAAACUAAAGAUCGCCAACCUCACUCAACGAUCCACCUAGUGGCCUCCUCACUCACCAAAAGUUACAGUAUAUCAUUCCUCAUAUGAGAGAAAUUGGGCGAAGGAAAAUCCCUAUCGGUGACUCGCCGAUUGGAUCGGCGAAGAGAAGUUAGACCACUGAUUCUUACAGAACAAUUAAUGAUGAUGCAAGCAACACGGCGAUCCAAGAGGGAAAACGGCUCAUCGUGGAAUCCAUUGGGCGAUCUGAUAUAGACCGCCUAAAGUCACAGUGUGCAGAGGAUGAAUACUCAAGACAAGAAGGUGAUGGACAUGAGCGAUUGGUGACUCACCGAUGAGUUGGCGAAGCAUGACUUACCUCCCCGAAUUACCCCAAAGGCCAAAUUUUGGAAAGAUAUAAAUUGAUUUUUGAAAUUUGAGAAGGCAUCCAAUCAUUGCGAAAACUCAGUCUUAGAACGAAAGAACUAUUGUUAUUAAUUUUGAAGCAUUUUUCAAGUAGAUUUUGAAUUGGGUUUUGUAAUUGAAGCUACGUUGAAUCAUUUUAAAGGUUUGGAAAUUAAUACCCUGCCAUGGAGAAUGUUGUAGGUAUUGAAUUCUUACUUUUUAUGAUGACUAGCUAAAACCUCCAUUCUUGGAGGUAUGACCAUAUGAUUAAUUGUCCAAUUUAGUCGAUGGGUGUUAGUGAUUAUUGAGUUUAUUACUUUUUUGAAGUGGGUUUGAUCUAUAGCUAUUAUUAAAUUGAUAAAUUGGAAUGUUUAUUUCAAUUGCACUUAGUGUUUUAUGCUUGCUUGAGAGAGAGGUGUAAAGCCAUGGUUAUAAAUUAGCAUUUGUAAAUAUUGGGUUGUUGUGGGUUCAGCUUGAGAAAGUGAAUUCUAAGUUCAAUUCUACCCAUCUAGCUCUAGAGAGUAGAUAAAAUGAGGUAUUGGAUUGUUUAUCAUGUUAAGCUUGUUGAGGUUCGAGAGAACUCACUUGAACCGUAAUAGUUGUUAGAGAGAAAACUAUUACAGCUGUGGUCCAGCCUACCCACUAAGAUCGAGAAACCCUUAGUUAUCAUGGGAGAGGGGGGGCAACCAAGUGGUUAGUAGGGAUAUCGAGGGACUCCAUUUUAUCAUGGGAGGAGCUUACCGAGGCAUUCUACAUAAGGUUCUUUCCACCCUCAAAUGGUAAAAUUAUGUGACAACAUCCAAAACUUCAAGCGAGUAGAAGAGGAACCGAUUCAUGAAACUUGGCCGAGGUUUCAAAAGUUGCUAUUACAUUGUCCUACUCAUGGGCUUUCGAGUGAUGUGAUACUUCAAUAUAUCUACCGGAGUUAAGAAUCAGUGAACAAAGGAGUAGCCGACCAGCUGGCUCUGAGAGGAAUAAUGUUACAAUCAUUUGAGGUAGCCUCGUCCCUUCUUAAUGAAAUGAGAAAGAUCAAUUAGGCAUGGUACACUCAAGAGGACCAAGUUUCUCCCUUAAACUUUAGGAUGACAAAAGAGCAACUUGACAAGGAGAAAGAGAGGGACGACAAUAUUAGCAACAUGAUGUCCCAAAUGGAUUUGUUACAAAAACAAGUGCUAGAGAAGGUUGGUGAAACCAAAGAAGUCAGAAGAGUGUUUAGACUUGAGGAGGGUUCUCACCCGAGCUACUUAAAGGAGUGUGGGAAUAAGGUUGGAAAUUGCAUAAAGAAGAAGUGCGGAGAUGAUACAAUAAAGAUUGGACUGAACAUAAUGAUUCUUGGAGGAAAGAAGAGAGUCAUGAAGAGUACCACACAUAACCAAGUGACAUUCGAGAUCAAAGGGUAGUUCGGGUAACCCACGACUGGAUGAAUUAUUGUCACGUAUACUAGACAAGGUUGAAGGAUCUAAUGACAUGCUUAAGGAGAUGAAAAUUGAUUUCUCAUCAUUGAAUAAUAGAGUGAAUUCUCACGCAUAUGCAAUCAAAAAACCUGAGGGUCAACUGAGUCAACUUUCAGCACAAAUGGAACCUAAGGUAUUUUCAAGGGGUGAGGCUGAGUGUGCAACAACUCUGAGGGCUUAUGGUGACAAAUAUUUGGCGGUUGUAACUCGAAGUGGAAAUAGCGGUUGGUAAUGUGAGGGAUAAUAAUAGGAUGAAUGCUCACGAAGAAGAGAACGAUAUUAAUGAGGAAGAGAAGUUCGUUCAACCACUGGGGAGUGAUAUGCUCAAAGAGAAGGAGUACAAUCCUAAGCAAAGCCCCACAUGUGAGUUAUAAAAAGAUAAAGAAAAGGCUACCUCAACUCCAAAGAUAGUGCAACCUCUACACAAAAUAGUUCCUCCAUUUCCUCUCUGUCUUAAAAAUAAAAAUGAGGAUUAAAAGUUCAGAAGAUUCUUAUCCUUGUUCAACACACUUUCUAUAAAUCUUUCAUUAGUGGAAGCAUUAUGGGAGAUGCCAGGAUAUGCAAAAUUCAUGAAGGAGUUGGUCACCAAGAAGAGAAGCAUGGACUUCAAAACAAUCAAAGUUUCUCAUAAUUGUAGUGCCAUCAUGACUACUGAGAUUAUUACAAAGAAAGCGGAUCUUGGGGCUUUCACUAUCCCAUGCACCAUUGGUGUGCUUCAAUUUGCUAAAACUUUGUGUGAUUUUGGGGCAAUUAUAAAUUUGAUGCGCUACACAAUCUUUAAAAAACUUGGGCUGGGUGAACCAAAAUCCACAACAAUGCGGCUUCUUAUGGUGGACCGGUCGAUCAAACACUAUGUUGGAAUACUAUAUGACAUAUUGAUGAAGGUUGAUUAAUUGAUCUUUACGGCUUAUUUUGUUAUUCUUGACUGUGAGUUUUAUGGUGAAGUUCCUAUUAUUUUGGGUAGACCAUUUUUGGCAACCGAAAGAGCUCUAAUGGAUGUUCAAAGUGGGAAGUUGAUAUUCCAGGUAAAUGAAGAUGAGGUUACCUUUAAUGUGUGCAAAUCAAUGAAGCAACCUAGUAAUAUUCAUGUAGUCUCAAUGAUUGAUGUGAUUUAUGAAGCGGUGUCUAGUGUGAGCGAAAUAAUGUGUAGGGUUGAGCCUCUUGAGGCUGUUCUUUCGAAUUAUGAUGAAACCGAAGUUAAAGGAUAUGAUGAAGUGGUCGCUGACCUAUCGGGAUUAGAUGGAUACUCAAGAAACCCAUUCAAGCUAGACAUUGAUCUAAAGAAUCAAGAGAGUCCUCCCGCUAAACCAUCCACAAAGGAACCACCAAAGCUUGAGUUGAAAGUUCUCCCCGCUCAUCUUCGGUAUGCAUUCUUGGGGGAAAAUAAUACCUUGUACGUUAUCAUUGCAGCUGACGUGCUUGAAUGGCAAGUGGAAUUGCUUCUUGAGGUGUUGAAAAGAUACAUUAAAGCCAUUAGAUGGACUAUCGCUGAUAUUGUAGGUAUUCCAUCCGGAAUUUGCACAAACAAAAUCUAGUUGGAUAGCGAGUGCAAACCAAGUGUUGAGUAUCAAAGAUAACUAAACCCACCUAUGCAAGAGGUGAUGAAGAAAUAUAGCAUUUAAUGGCUAGACGGAGGUGUAGUAUAUCCUAUUGCGGAUAGCAAAUGGGUGAGCCCAGUGCAAUGCGUACCCAAAAGGGGAGGCAUCAUGGUGGUCCCGAAUGAAAAAGGAGAACUUAUCCCUAUGAGGCCGAUCACCGAUUGGAGAGUAUGCAUGGAUUAUCGAAAGCUCAACUCUUGGAUCGAGAAAGAUCAUUUUCCAAUGUCGUUUACGGGUCAAAUGCUUAAUCGACUUGCAGGGUGUGGAUGGUACUGUUUCUUGGAUGGCUACUUUGGGUACAACCAAAUCUCUAUUGCACUAGAAGACCAAGAGAAAACCACUUUUACAAGACCCUACGGGACUUUCACCUUCAAGAGGAUUCCAUUUGGAUUAUGCAAUGCUCUAGCGACAUUUCAAUGGUGCUUGCUUUCGAUUUUCGCUGAUAUGGUGGAAGAUUCAAUUGAAGUGUUCAUGGAUAACUUUUCAGUUGUAGGUGACUCAUUUGAGACAUGUUUGGCUCAUCUUGGGCGGGUCCUUCAAAGGUGUGUAUAAACCAACUUGGUCCUUAAUUGGGAAAAAUUCCAUUUCAUAGUCAAAGAAGGCACAGUCCUAGGUCACAAAGUGUCAUAGAAGGGACUGCAGGUUGAAAAAUCAAAGAUCAAGGUUAUUGAGAAGUUACCACCACCUAUAUGUGUUAAAGGCAUUCAAAGGUUUUUGGGGCAUGCAGGGUUCUAUAGAAGAUUUAUCAAGGAUUUUUCAAAAAUUGCACACCCAUUGUGUAAGCUAUUGGAGAAAGAGGCGAAGUUUCUUUUUGAUGAUGCUUGCUCAAAAGCUUUUGAGUGUUAUAAUCUCUACCCCAGUGAUCAUUAGCCCGGAUUGGUCCGAACCAUUUGAAGUGAUAUGUGAUACAAAUGGUACCUCUCUAGGAGUCGUGUUAGGGCAAAAGCGCAACAUGCUCUUUCAUCCAAUUUAUUAAGCCAACAAAACGCUAAAUGGAGCAUAACAUAACUACACAGUUACUGAACAAGAACUAUUAGCUGUAGUUUAUGCAUUUGAGAAGUUCAGGGAAUACUUGUUGGGUACUAAUGUGAUGGUUCAUACUGAUCAUGCAGCAUUACGGUAUUUAAUGGCAAAGAAAGAGGCUAAACCGAGGUUGAUCAGGUGGGUCUUGUUGUUGCAAUAGUUUGAUUUUGAAGUAAAAGAUCGAAAUGGGUGUGAAAAUCAAGCGACAUCAUUUAUCACGGUUAGAAACCAAUGUGACCAACCCCAAGGAAACGGAUAUUAUGGCUGAGUUCCCAGACGAAACAGUGAUAAGGCUAACUCAAAGCAACAUCCCUUGGUAUGUUUAUCUUCCUAACCAUAUGGUAUGUGGAAUUAUGCCGGAGGAUUUGAACUCUUAUAUGCAGAAGAGGUUUUUGUUUGAUAUAAAGAAAUACUUUUGGGAUGAACCAUAUAUGUUUCGAGAAUGUGCAGAUUACUUCAUUUGUCGAUGUGUAUCGAAAGAAGAAGUCAAUGCCCUUCAUAAUGCGUGCCACACAUCACAUGUCGGUGGACAUCACAGUGGGGUGCGGACAGCAGCAAAAGUGCUUCACAGUGGUUACUAUUGGCCAUCUCUAUACCGAAAUGCGCAUGACUUUGUGAAACAAUGCAUCCAUUUCCAAAAACAAGGUGGGGUAUCAAGAAAGCAUGAAUUGCCUCUCAAUCCUCUCUUAGAAGUGGAGUUGUUUGUGUAACACCUCGUAGUUUAGUAGGUCAUCUAUGGUUAUGUUGAAGGCUACUGGUCAAGACUAGAGGGCAUGAACUAAGGCAAAGGGCCAAGGUUCAAGGCUUCCCCAAGCUUGCCAUGGCACUGUCUUGGACCACGAGAGACUUCACGGCUCGUGGUGGCCAUCACAGCUCGUGAGGCCACCUGUGGUGGUGAGGUAGUGAGCCCCUCAAGGCUGCCAAAGUUGCCCCCCUCCACACGAGCCACUUCACGGUCUGUGAAGGCCUAGAUGUCUCGUGGGAGUGGCCAUGGACAUGCUUUCACCUCUUGGAAACCAAGACCUCAAUACAUAGCCAUGGACCACUCCCAGUGGUCUUGACCACGGCUUAUGAUCCCUGUCGUGGUGUCUGGCACCUUGUAGCUUGCAAGUAUUUAUAAUCAAGGUAUGUUAGCUUAUUCAUCCAUGGAUUCUUCCAUUCAUGGAGUCCCCUAGAAUUCCCCAAUUUAAGUUAGGGUUUCUUCAAUAUUGUGGGUUAUGAUAGAUGUUGAUCCAAUUGAGUGAUUAUUGAUUGUUUAUGAUUGAGUUAGAAGUGAAUCAUGAUAUUAAGAUGAAAUUACAUGUUUUCUAUGGCUAACCCUAGUCUAAUUGAUGAAAUUGAAGUAAUGUGGGUUUAUGCCUUGUGAAGGGAAAUUGAGGAUUGAUAGAUGAUUUUCUAGAAUUGGUGAUAUGUAUAGUAAUUGUUCAAGAAUAGAAGCAUGUGAACAUGAAUUGAAUUAGAAUGUAGUACAUGUGAUGGAUCAUGACUAGUAAUGAUUAAGGUUGAGCCUUUAUGAUGAUAUAUGACUAGAAUUGCUUAAGAAUGAAGCAUGUGACUAGAAUGUCUCGUGAUCUAGAUAAGUAUGGUGAUUGUAAGAAGUAAAGCUUUAAGAGUAAGGCUUGUAGUCAUGAAUGUUGAUCACUAUGGGCUUUGAUAGUAAGGCUUGAAGUCAUGAAUGUAGAUCACUAGGGCUUUGGGAGUAAGGCUAAUAUAAUGAAGUAUGUAUGUUAAUACUUAAAGAGUGAAGCUUGUAUGAUCUUGGUAGACUACUAGUAGAGUUUUUGUGGACGGACAUUACCCACAUUACCUAUAUUAUGAAAGUAUGAGAUUAUGCAUGUUCCUGUAGAACCUAUGUGAAUGCUUUAUGAACACUUGAGAAUGAAGUGUCUACAAUUAUGAUAUAUAGUCUGUUGGUUGAAAGGUUAUUCUCAUGAACACAUAAUGAACAUUAUGUGAAAGGUUUUCUCGCAUAGAAUGAUUCUAGGUUGAAAGGUUUACUCAACUAAAAUGAAUCAAAGCAUGUUAGAGAAGAAUAACUUGAAGUUGUGAUAUAAGAUCCCUUCAUGUAUAGCUUGACUUGGUAUGGUAAGACCAUUUCAUGGUAGCCUAGGAUUGAGGAAUCAUACUCUCCUAAGGGUAGCUUGACCUAGCAUUAUAGAGUGCCUUCAUGGUAGUUUGAGUUAGUAGAUCUCAUGGUAGCGUAGGAUUGAGGAAUCAUACUCUCCUAAGGGUAGCUUGAACUAACAUGAUAGAAUGCCUUCAUGGUAGCAUGACUUAGUUAGGCCAAGACCAUUUCAUGGUAGCUUUAAAUUGAGGAAUCAUACUCUCCGAAGGGUAGCUUGCACUAGCAUCAUAGAAUGAUUGCAUGGUAGCAUGAGUUAGGUGGGCCAAGCCUAUUGCAUGGUAGCGAGGAUAGAGCAAUUGUACCCUUCCUUGUAUAGCUUGGACUUGUAUGAUAGUAUGAUCUCCAUGGUAGCUUCUCUUAGCAUAAUUUAGUUAUGUUAGCUAGAUGAUUAACUUGGUCUAUCCUAGUAGGGUGCUAUUCCUUGGUAGCCUUGAAUUGAUAACUUGUGAUCAUUCAUGUGUGAUGACUUUCCUUAUACUAAGAAGAGAAGUACCUCAAAUAAAUAGAGGCAAAUAGUAAGUAGGGACUAGUCCCCAACUAAUGAGUUAGUAUGAUAGCCUAAAGUGGUACUUAGUGUGGGUAGGAUUAUGGGGUCUUAUCCAUGCAUUGCACAAGUAUGACUUGAAUCUAAUUAUUAAUUAAUAUCUUAUAUGUUGUAUGAUUAGCUUGGAUUGUUGGUAUAAUUGCCUUCCAUGAUAUGUUGACUAAAGGUGAUAGUUCCCUUGUCUAUAUGAAGUAAGCUAAGGAUGAGAUCAAAGGAUGGUAAGUAUGAUUAUGAUGACCUAAAAGUAAUAUUGAGUGUGAAUGGGAUUAUUGGGUCUUAUUAUUGCAUUUCACAAGUAUAAUUUAAAGUUACUUAUGAAAUGGUUCUCUUAUGAUAUGAAGGUCUAAUUAGUGACCAUGUUAUGAAUAUGUGGUAUCUCCUAUGCUAUUGGAUUAUGCCUUAUGUUGAUAUAUGCUCAUGUUAUGACUAUGUUGGAGAUUAUGCUUAUGAAUAUGUUAUUUUUUCUUAUGCUUAUGGCUUAUGUCUUAUGUUGGCUAACCCUUAUGUUAUGUUCUUAUGAAGUUAUGCUAGCUAACAUAUUUAGUAUAUUUUGUACUAAUGCGUACUAUUGCCUAUAUUCUUAUCAAAUGUAGGGUCUGGCGAUCUUGAGUGCCAUUCUUGAGGCUAGGUUUCUAGUAAAGCAAAGGAGUUGAAGACUUGGUGAGUCCUCAUAGCAUCGAGGAUGUGAUCACCUUUCUCUUAUGUCUUUCUUUUAUAUAUUAGACACGUGUAUAGGCUGCGUCCUAAAGUUUUAUUCAAAUUUUAGUUUAGAUGGUUUGAGACAAAGUUUUGUAGACUUUCGCUUGCUUUUAUAAAGACUUCGACUGUAAAGAAAAGUUUGAAAAUUUCUGCAUCAUUUCUAUUGUUUUAUGUUAUGAUAUGCUAAGUGGCUUGUGUUUGGCUUUUAGCGAUCUAGUACGCCUUGUCACAUCUAGGUUGUACCUCUGGGUUGUGACAGUUUGAUGUUUGGGGUAUAGAUUUCAUAGGGUCGUUUGUGAGUUCUUUCAGUCAGAAGUAUAUUUUGGUGGCAGUUGAUUACGUGUAAAAGUGGGUCGAAGUAGUAGCCUUGCCCAACAAUAAGGGCAAGAGUGUGGUGAAAUUCUUGAAGCGAUAUAUUUUUGCACGAUUCGGCACCCCAAGAGCUAUCAUCAGUGAUGGGGGAUCUCAGUUUUGCAACUGUAUGUUCUCCUCGUUGUUAAGCAAAUAUGGUGUAAAACACAAAGUUGCAACGCCAUACCAUCCGCAAACAAGCGGUCAAGUGGAAGUUUCAAACCGGAAAAUUAAAAGCUGUUUAACAAAAAUGGUGAAUGUAAAUCGGACGGAUUGGUCUCGUAAAUUUGAUGAUGCUCUAUGGGCAUAUCAGACUGCGUUGAAAACACCAAUUGGUAUGUCACCAUACCAGCUAGUGUUCAGAAAAUCUUGUCAUCUACCAAUUUAGCUUGACCACAAAGCUUUAUGGGCAUUGAAGAUGCUAAACCUGAAUUGGGAAAAGGCUACAAAAGGGAGAGUAAACCAACUCCACGAAUUGGAGGAAUUCUGGUUGAGAACAUAUGAAAGUUCAGCCUUGUAUAAGGAGAAGAUAAAGAGUUGGCACGACACCAAAAUCCUUCAGCAUGAAUUCCAAGUCAGAGACUUUGUGUUGAUCUUCAAUUCUCGGUUGAGACUCUUUCCCGGUAAACUUAAGUCAAAGUGGUCAGGUCCAUUUAAGGUAACCCAAGUGUUCACAAACGGGGCAAUUGAAAUUGAAGGAAAAGAGGGCUCAACUUUCACAGUGAAUGGGCAGCGCCUAAAACUAUAUUUUGGAGAGUAUCAUGAUAUUUUGGUAAUCGAAGUGGUGUAUUUGGAAGAUGCUUUAAAGAAUUUCCAUGUCGUGCCACGACGUUUAAUAAGGUGUUUCUUGGGAGGCAGCCCAAGCGUUAGUUGUUUUGAAUAAUGUGUGCUAAUUGUGCAGGCAUAGGUGAUUUUGCAAUGGCAUGACCAUUUCGGUAGGCCGCCGAGUGGAGUCCACGAUCCCGACUUGGCUUGCCUUCUAGGCAUCGAAGGUAGACUAGAGAUUCUUGAAUAUUUGGUGAAGUAUCCAGACCACUCGGUGAUGCGCCAAAGAGAUUGGGUGAACCCGACUUUCACUGCCCUUUGCAUCAUCCAGAAGGGUCGGUAAUCUAGAAAUUUUGGUGACAAUUUAUGAACAUUAGACGAUGCGCCGAUGCUAUUUGACGUACCCGAUCUUGAUAGACUUUCGGUCCCAACUGGAGUGGUAACGUUCUCGAUAUUUCAGCGGACUGCAUGCAAUUAGGCGGUAAGUCGAAGGGUUCGGCUUAUCCCCAUGACUUCGCCAACUGGCCCGUAGUGAAGAAUCCUCAUAACCCUAUUCUUGUCGUUUAGUGCUAUCGUUUCUCUAUUUUUAUUUCGUGCUCGUUAAUUUUUACAUUUAGGACAAUGUUGGUUGUUUUUGGUGGGGUAGGGACUUUAUUAGGAAUACCACAUCUGGAUAUGUUUAAAUGAAUGAAGUUGUUCUCUUGCGAAUUUGAGUGUCGGUUGUGGUCAAUACCGAUGACUUGAAUAGUGCUCUCAGAUGAACGACAUAAAUGUGCGGCUACGUUGAGGGCAAAACUGAGUUACAUAGGCAAUAUGUGAACUUUUAGCAUCUCAUUGUGACUAGCCGAUUGUCGAUUAAGUCUCUUGUGAUGGACAUUGCAUGCUAGCUAGAAAGUGUGGAGUCUUGUUUGAUAAUCGUAUCGAAUGCCUUGUGUGGUGAGGUUGUCUUGAAAAUUGUGCUUGUUGACACCUAAAAUUUGUCAUGUUAGUCUGAUUGAUUGAGUGAAGUAAGCAAUUGAAAUGAUCUUAGACAUAAGUUUUGAAGAGUGAACCAAAUUGAUAAUACCUCUUUGUGGCCACCUUGUGAGAAUUGUGAACCUUCCUUGGCACCUUUUGAGCCUAUCCUUUUUCUUUGGAAGAAACUUGAACAAAUGUGACCUCUUUAUCCCAUCACACAUAACCUUUAUUAAAUAUUAGUUUGUUUGAAUAGCCAACUUAGACCAAAAGCCUAAGUUGGGGGUGUGGUGAAAAAGAAGGAAAGUCAAGAAGUGUAAACAAUUCCCCCAAAAAAAGAAGAAAAGAAAAAGGUGAAAAUGAAAAGGAUUGAAAAAGAUAAAAAGAUGUGAAAUAAAGUGUGUGAAAAUGGCAAAAGAAGUGGGGUAUCCGUUGAGUCAUGUUGAGAUUAAUAAUGGAGUUGAUUAUGAGCCUGUUUGAAUAUGAAAGAGAAGGAGGAAAAAUGCUUUUUCAUACCAUACUUCAUGAAGGCAGAAGCCACUAAGCCAAAAUGACCAUACCUUUACACCCAGCCCCAUUACAAGCCUUAAAAGACCUUUGUGAUCUUGAGUGAACUGAAACGAAUGUUGAUAGGAAAAUAAGGGCAAGACUAUGGGUGUAGUCAUGCAUGUGUUCAUCUUUGUGAGUGUGAGAGUUGUAGGUGAUUAUGGGAUCUUAAAGUGUUGAGAUAUUUUGUGUGAAUAUAGAAUCAUCGUUGUUGUGAGGGAAUUUGAAUACCUUUGUUGAGCUUGAACUUGCAUUUGAAACAAGGAUUGUGAGCUUGAGUAUAUUUGAUAAUGCUGAGUCACAAUUUGAAACUUUGAGUGCACAAUUGAACAUUGUACGUGUAGUUUGACCCUUUUGUGUACAUUUUUAUUGAGUCUUAAGAAACACUGUAGGUAGACAUCCUUGUUGAACUAAAUAAUCUUGAGUUUUACUUGAGGACAAGCAAAAGUUUAAGUUGGAGGUGUUGAUGAGUCCGAGAUUUUGACUCAUUUAGGGAUUUGUUUUGAUAGUUUAAGUGUCCUCACAUGCCUAAUUUAUACUCCAAACUAAUGUUAAAGUGUUAAUUUGCAGCUAUGAAGGCUAAGAACCAAGACAAGGACAUUACCGGGCAAAGAAAGGAACAACAAAGCUGAAGAGUGCCGACCUCACUCAGUGAUCCGCCGAGUGGCCUCCUCACUCACCGAAAGUUACAGUAUGCCACUCCUGAGAUGAGAGAAAUUGUGCGAAGGAAAAUCCCUAUCGGCAACUCGCCGAUUGGAUUGGUGAAGAGGAGUUAGUCCGCGGAUUCUUACAACAAUCAAUAAUAAUGCAAGCAACACAACGAUCCAAAGUGGCAAACGGCGCAUCGCGGAAUCCAUCGGCGAUUCGAUAUAGACCGCCUAAAGUCACAGUGCGCAGAGGAUGAAAACUCAAGACAAGAAGGCGAUGGACAGGAGCGAUUGGAGACUCACUGACAAGUAAGGGAAGCACGACUUACCUCGCCGAAUUACCCCAAAGGCCAAAUUUUGAAAGGAUAUAAAUUGAUUUUUUGAAAUGAGAGAAGGCAUCCAAGCAUUGUGAAAACUUAGUCUUAGAACGAAAGCACUAUUCUAGUUUAAUUUUGAAGCAUUUUUCAAGUAGAUUUUUAAUUAGGUUUUGUAAUUGAAGCUACCUUGAAUCAUUUAAAAGGUUUGGAAAUCAAUACCCAACCAUGGAGAAUGUCGUAGGUAUUGAAUUCUUACUUUUUAUGAUGACUAGCUAAAACCCCCAUUCUUAGGGGUAUGACCAUAUGAUUAAUUGUCUAAUUUAGUUGAUGGGUGUUAGUGAUUAUUGAGUUUAUUACUAUUUUGAAAUGGGUUUGAUCUAUAGUUGUUGCUAAAUUGAUAGAUUGGAAUGUUUAUUUUAAUUGCACUUAGUGUUUUAUGUUUGCUUGAGAGAGAGGUGUAAAGUAAUGGCUAUAAAUUACUGCUUGUAAUAAUUUGGUUGUUGUGGGUUCCGCUCGAGAGAGUGAAUUCUAAACUCAAUUCUACCCAUCUAGCUCGAGAGAGUAGAUAAAAUUAGGUAUUGGACUGUUUAUCGUGUUAAUCUUGUUGAGCUUCGAGAGAACUCACCUGAACCGUAAUAGCUGUUCUAGAGAAAACUAUUAUCGUUGUGGUCCAACCUACCUACUAAGAUCUAGAAACCCUUAGUAGUCACCGAUCACUUGUUUACCAAAAUUGACAAGAAAUCGGUCAUACCCGCAAGUAUCUUUUAAUUACUUGAUUGCUCCAUUGUUGCUCGUGAUUGUUUUAGUUGCUAAUUGACAACCAUUUCCCACAUAUGACAUUUGUGUCACCCUUUUAAUUUGCUUAAGUGUCUUCGAUAAUCUAUAUUCCUACAAUUUAUUGAAUCACAUUUUCAACUUCAUAAUUGAAUUUGAACUUAUACCAUUCCCUGUGGGUUCGACUCCAACUUACUUGUUGGGUUUAUACUAGAUUACGAUCGCCUAUGUAACACCCCGGAAAUUCUAUGACUUAAGUUAGAUGCUCACCUUAUGAAUAAUGAAUUAAUAAUAGUUAAAAUGAUGUUUAUAAACCUAAACUAAUGUAAUUGACUUGGUUUGGAAGAGUAAAAGUCUAAACGUCAAGAAACGACCACGACGUCCGGAAACUAGAGAAGAAUGUGUUCUAGUGUGUCCUUAGGUUUUGGGUAGGUUUGGGAGUUUCGUAUGAUGGUAUAAUCUGGUGAAAAGGUUUAAAAUAGGUAAAUAAAUGUUCCUAGGGUCAAAGCAUUCGAAUACGACUCCCCGGGACCACCCUAAGGGNNNNNNNNNNNNNNNNNNNNNNNNNNNNNNNNNNNNNNNNNNNNNNNNNNNNNNNNNNNNNNNNNNNNNNNNNNNNNNNNNNNNNNNNNNNNNNNNNNNNNNNNNNNNNNNNNNNNNNNNNNNNNNNNNNNNNNNNNNNNNNNNNNNNNNNNNNNNNNNNNNNNNNNNNNNNNNNNNNNNNNNNNNNNNNNNNNNNNNNNNNNNNNNNNNNNNNNNNNNNNNNNNNNNNNNNNNNNNNNNNNNNNNNNNNNUCUCAAGAACUCCAUUGAAGAAGAUUGGAACUUCAAGAAGAAGACCAACUCUCCAAGGUAUUCCUUCGAAUUUUCGUGGUUAAUUCAUCUAUAAGGUAUGGUUGCUUAUCACUCUUGGGAUUCCUUUCCCCAAGAGGCCCCUUCAAGAUGAAUUUCAAAAUCUCCAAUUUCUAGGUUUCAAUCCAAAAAUGUGGGUCUUCUUUCUAAAGUGAAAUUGAUGUUAUAAACUGACUUUGAUUGAUGUUAUAUGAACAAUUAUGGAUGAAUUUAUGUUGUAUUGAUGGUUUCUUGAAGAAUUCCCCNNNNNNNNNNNNNNNNNNNNNNNNNNNNNNNNNNNNNNNNNNNNNNNNNNNNNNNNNNNNNNNNNNNNNNNNNNNNNNNNNNNNNNNNNNNNNNNNNNNNNNNNNNNNNNNNNNNNNNNNNNNNNNNNNNNNNNNNNNNNNNNNNNNNNNNNNNNNNNNNNNNNNNNNNNNNNNNNNNNNNNNNNNNNNNNNNNNNNNNNNNNNNNNNNNNNNNNNNNNNNNNNNNNNNNNNNNNNNNNNNNNNNNNNNNNNNNNNNNNNNNNNNNNNNNNNNNNNNNNNNNNNNNNNNNNNNNNNNNNNNNNNNNNNNNNNNNNNNNNNNNNNNNNNNNNNNNNNNNNNNNNNNNNNNNNNNNNNNNNNNNNNNNNNNNNNNNNNNNNNNNNNNNNNNNNNNNNNNNNNNNNNNNNNNNNNNNNNNNNNNNNNNNNNNNNNNNNNNNNNNNNNNNNNNNNNNNNNNNNNNNNNNNNNNNNNNNNNNNNNNNNNNNNNNNNNNNNNNNNNNNNNNNNNNNNNNNNNNNNNNNNNNNNNNNNNNNNNNNNNNNNNNNNNNNNNNNNNNNNNNNNNNNNNNNNNNNNNNNNNNNNNNNNNNNNNNNNNNNNNNNNNNNNNNNNNNNNNNNNNNNNNNNNNNNNNNNNNNNNNNNNNNNNNNNNNNNNNNNNNNNNNNNNNNNNNNNNNNNNNNNNNNNNNNNNNNNNNNNNNNNNNNNNNNNNNNNNNNNNNNNNNNNNNNNNNNNNNNNNNNNNNNNNNNNNNNNNNNNNNNNNNNNNNNNNNNNNNNNNNNNNNNNNNNNNNNNNNNNNNNNNNNNNNNNNNNNNNNNNNNNNNNNNNNNNNNNNNNNNNNNNNNNNNNNNNNNNNNNNNNNNNNNNNNNNNNNNNNNNNNNNNNNNNNNNNNNNNNNNNNNNNNNNNNNNNNNNNNNNNNNNNNNNNNNNNNNNNNNNNNNNNNNNNNNNNNNNNNNNNNNNNNNNNNNNNNNNNNNNNNNNNNNNNNNNNNNNNNNNNNNNNNNNNNNNNNNNNNNNNNNNNNNNNNNNNNNNNNNNNNNNNNNNNNNNNNNNNNNNNNNNNNNNNNNNNNNNNNNNNNNNNNNNNNNNNNNNNNNNNNNNNNNNNNNNNNNNNNNNNNNNNNNNNNNNNNNNNNNNNNNNNNNNNNNNNNNNNNNACUAUGAUGCUUACUUUGUUUGCAUAUUGGAUUUACUUGGUAAAAAGCAUGUUUUGACUAAAUGUCCUUUUAUGCAUGUUUCAAUGGUCUUUAUGGAUAGUAGCCAUACUUAGUACGUGUGUUGUACUAACCCAUAUCUUCUCCCUUUUUCCAAACAUUUAGGUUCGGACCGUUGAGGAUUCAAGUUUACUACUCAAGACACUUAGAGUUGCUUCCCCAAGUUGGUGAGUCCUCAAGUCCGAGGACAAGACCCUAUGAUCUAGAUUCUAUGUUAGUUCUUUGCUUAUGUUGAAAGACAUUGUUGUACUUCCUAUUUGCAAGACUUCUUAUUGAUGUAAGGGCUAAGUCCCAUUUUCGAUACUUCUAUGUCUAGAUGGUGCAUUGUGACGAAGUUAGAUUCUAUUUUUCAUAUAUGAAGUGAAGUUGAACUUCCAAAGUAAAAGUUUUAAAUGUUCCGCAAUUUUAUUCUAUGAUACAGGUUAUGACGAAUGCUAAGGGCUUGUAUAAGACCUCUUCGAGGUCAAAUACGCCGGUAACGACUAGGGGGUGCUCUCGAGUCGUUACAGCCUACACCUAGUAUUGGAUGAGGUGUAGUUGAGCAUUAUCACUGUGCACCCAAGAUCCUCUAAUAACCCUAAAACCACGACCUGACUAACGGACCGUUGGUCACACUAUAAUAUGUGGUCGGGGGCCCGUGGUUCAAAGGCCCAGAAUUCAGCUUCUGACCAUGAACGACGGCCGUGCAGGAUGGCCCGUCGUCCUGACCACGGCCUGUCAUUAGUGGCCGUCGGUGGUGGGCUGGCAGUUAUUAUUAGGGGCAGUUGGGUCUUUUCCUAAAUAUUUUACUCCUAUACUAUGUCAUUUUACCCUUCACCAUGACCCCUAUUUAAGUGAUUUCAACCCCCCCAAAUUAGUUCAUUCACUUCAUUCUCUUCAAAUUCACCAAAAAGAAGAACUCUCCAAUAAUUCUUUCUCUAGAAAUCUUGAAGAAGAAGGAUUGAACCUAGGGUUUCAAGUCAAGUCUCAAUUCCUCCAUUGAAGAUUAGCAAUUGGCUUCAAGGUAUGCUAGUUUUCAUCCAUGGAUUCCUUCCAUUCAUGGAGUUCCCAAAAUCAUCUAUUUUCAAAGUUAGAAAUCGCCAAUUGAGUUAAGGUUUUCUUCAAUUGUCAUGGGUUCUCUUCAUUAUUGAUUGAAAUGAUUGAAUUGUGAUUUCUUAUGCAUGAAUUGAUGAAAUACUAUGAUUUUAUGAUGAUUCCCCCAUGAACCCAUGUAAUCUCCAUGUUUUCAAGCUAUGAUCAUAUGAUGUGGGAUUUCGAUUAUGAAGGAAGAGUUUUAUAAAAUUAAGCAUGUAUUGAUAGAAUUUCAUGAAUUUACAAUGAAAUCCAUAUCUAACCGAUGUUUUCUAAAUGUUGAUGAUUGAAAGUGGAUUUUGAACCUUGCAAGGUAAAUUAUGGAAUUAUGCAUGUUCUUAUGAAAUCUUUGCAAACAUUUUAAGCAUGCUUUGCGAAUAAAGUUUCAAUGAUGAUGAUGAUGUAUUAUUGAAAGUAUUUUCUCAUAUACACAUAAAAACAAGAUGUGAAAGGUUUUCUCACAUAAUAAAGGAUUUUAAGGUUGAAAGGUCUUCUCACCUAAUUGAAUCAAAGAUUAAGAGUUAUCCUAUUGAAAAUCUAGCUAGGAUUGGUUAUUGUAUGAUACCUUUCCAUGGAUGAUGACUUAGCUUGGAUUGUCAAGAUGACGUGCCCUUCCAUGGAUAAUAAGAACAAGUAUGAAAUUACUAUUCCAUGGGAUUUAUGCUUAGCACCGAGAGGAUAUUGAGAUGGAAGCUCUCCCGUUAGUAAAGGACGGGUUUCUAGAAGCAAUCUCCUUAUACCUUACCGAUGUUCCCCCAUAGAAUGAUUGUCUAGAUAUACAUUAGCUAGUGGAUCCACCUAAGCUAGAAGUUAUGGUCCUUAUCUUGGUACGUAGGACAACCCUUUUUGGCGUAGGAGACACCGGGGAAUCAUUUUAUAGCUCACAUGGUCUCUAUGUCGGUUAGGCUACUUCUCACAUUAAUAAUGAACUAAGGUUACUUCAAGAAGUAUAUCAUAUGUGUUCAAAGCUUUUAAUGAUGUUAGCUUGCAUUGACCAUGAUUUAUGACUUGUGUUUUCUAACCCUUUUUUAUAUCAUAUUUUAGCUUGGUCAAUUGCAUGUCACGAAAUGUCCUCUUUUAGCAUGAUUUAAAUAUUUUAUGUAUAGCUAUCAUACUUGAUACAUUGUUUUGUACUAACACAUACUAUUUCCUACAUUUCCCCAAAUGUAGGGUAUGACAGUCAAGUUUCUCAAUUUCGUGGCUAGUGGUUAAUUUUGAGGUUUCCGAGUUUUAGUGAGUCCUCAUGCUUCGAGGAAGGAUUUUCAUUAUCUUAGUUUCUUUCAUGUAUUUUCAGUUUUGGACAUGAUGUAUGGGCUAGGCCCAAUUUCAUUCUAUUGUACUUGAUGGCUAUUGAGACAAAGUGUUUUAGACUUCCGCUUUUCUUUUGUAAAACUAUUAGACUUGGACUAUAUUUUUACUCCUUUUGUUCUAUUUCUUAUGUUAUGAAAGCUAAGUGGCUUGUAUGGGGUUUUUUGGGAUCCUAUAUGUCAUGCUACAUCUAGGGGGUACACUUGGGUCGUGACAUAAAUGCAAGAGAUAAUACACCAAUUUUGAGAGGGAACCUAAAUCUUCAUACCUUGUGUACUACCUUAUGAGGGUGUGCAACCAUCUUGGCAACAUGAGCCUAUACCAUUUUUUGUUAGACACAUUGAACCCUCUUGAACAAAAUAUGACCCUACCUUCUCACAUAUAAUUCCUUUUCUAAGCAAUGGUUUGUUCAAAUAGCAAACUUAGGCCAAAACUCUAAGUUGGGGGUGUGGGAAGGAAGGGAGAAAGAAAGCCAUGUUUUAAAAAAAAGUGAAGCUCAACCUUGAUGUUCGUAGAAAAAAGAAGUAGGAUCCCCUACUUAUUAAAACAAGAGCCAAAUCAUGAAAAUGGUUUGAAAAAAGAAUGUCUUGAUGAAAUAAAAGGGGUUUGCUAUGACUUGAAUAAAGAAUUUUGGAUUGAGUCUCCAAAUCAACAGUAUGAAAAGAACUUGAGAAGAGGUAAAGAUGAGUACAACAAUGCUUUGAAAAGGUAAAGUCACAGAGCCAAAAUAGUUCAUACCUUUACCCUCAGCCCUAUUAUAAACUUGAAAAGACCUUUAGAUCUUCCUAAAACCAGGUCGUGUGAUGAUUGGAAAAUAUGGGCAAACUUAUGGGAUGAGACUUGCAUGUAUUUCUCUUUCGGAGAGUGAGUAUUUGUAGUGAUUCCUGACUUCUUUGUUGAUGUGCUUUGUGAGAGCAUCAAAUCAUUUUUGUUAUGAGGGCACUUGAAUGCUUUUGUUGAAGCAUGAUUUUACAUUAUAAGUAAGUAUGAGGGAGCUUGAACUUGGAUUGAUAGUGGUUAAUAAUAAUUUGAAUCUUCUUGAGCAUAAUUGAGAAUUUUCACAUACUUGAUAUAAGUUUUGUGAGAGCAUUUGCAUAUUAACUCAGAAUUAGCACUGUUGUGGAGAUCCUUGUUGAACUAAUAGCGUUCUUGAUUUACUUGAGGAUACACAAAAGUUUAGUUUGAGAUUUUGACUCAUGUGAGUCCUUUUAGUUCAACAAAUAGCGUCAUCAAGACCUAUUUAUGUCCAUAUCUGAUGUUACAUUGAUUUUUUGCAUCUAUGAAGGCUCAACGACGAUGCAAAGAUGAAAUCACACAAAAAAGGCCGAAAAUUUCUAAAAAAGAGUGAAAACCCCAAACUGAGGAUCACCGAAGGUUGUAGUUGGCAAAUCUCCAACUAUGCCUGAACGCCACAAGAUUCUGUAGUGUUUGAUGAUAAAAUGUCAAGGUAAGUCGAUGAAGGAAUAAAGUUCACCAAUUUAGAUUCAAACAUCAGAAGCCUAAAACCAAGAAAGGGUGAGAGAAAACUAAUCCGCCGAUCAAGUAGGCGAGCCCGACUAAUGUCACCGAACAGGUCACAUAUGGGAUUUCAAACUAAUUUUUGAUGAAAUUAUAAAUAGCCAAAGGAGAGAGAAAAUAUAUUUUUUAUCCUUUAAUUGUUGGGAAAAUAGACUAUUGAAUAUAUUUAGGAACUUUACCUUUUUCAUAUCUUUUUAGUUUUGGGUUUUUGAAUAAUUUUGUAUUUGAAAAUUGAGGUUUCAAUUCUAAGUGUGUGUUGAAGAUUAUUACUUAUUAUUGACACUUUGAUGACUGAAAACAUAAUUGGUAAAAUUUCUUUCACUUUUAUGAUUCUAGGAUAAAACCUCAACUCUAGGCGUAUGAUUAUGGAGUUGGUUUUUAUCUAAUUUAGUGGGUCUAGUGUCUUGUUAUGUUUUUUUAUAUUUAUUCAUGGAUUUGAGCUUGUUAGCAUAGGUUCAACUUAUGGGCUAAGGUUACAAACCUAAUCCUAGCUUAGAUCUUUGAUUGAUUCUUGAAAGAGAUUAAUUAAAGUGGGUAAAUAGAUAAUACUCCCAAAUUGGAUUUGAUUGAUGUAGUUUGCUCAAAAGAGAAAUUAUAAUUUCAUUUUUAAUCGUGAAAUAUGCUCGAAAGAGAGAUUUUGUAAGGUAUUGGGUUGAUUUAUAUCUUUACAUAGAUGGGACAAAAAGGGUAUUAUGUGAUAUGACACCUUGAAAUCGAUAGAAAAUAAGUAUUGUUUAUGAUUACACAGCCUAUCAAUGAUUAUCUUGCAUUCUUAAGCAAGCACUUGAACCCCUAUUUGACAUUGAUACUGACUCCCACACCCCUAGAUCAUCUUUUACUUGUUUAAACCAUGUUUUUUUAAUUGUAAUAAUUUAUUUAUUUUAAAUUCUUGGAAUCAUCUACCCUUUUGUCCUAAUUGCUACAAUGAAUUAGUUUGCAUCUUAAUUUCCUUAUUGAAUUCUUCGAUUUAGAUCACUCCCUAUGGGAUUCAACCCCGACUCUAUUUUUGGUUAUUUAUAUUGCUAGUGGUUGAUUACCUUUUAAAUUUUAUAUAUGAGUAAUUUGAGUGUUAUCACCUAAUACAAUCUUACUCAUUCUUACUUGAGUAUUGGCAACCAUAGUCGGAGUAUACUUAGCCAAUUUAGUAAACUUCGAAGAAUACUCUUUCACAAUCAUGUUCUGUUGACAAAGAUUGAUGAACUCAAGCACCUUCACCUCUCUCAUCUCAAGAGGAAAUAAAAAGAUCAACAAAUAUCCCUUUGAAUUUCUCCCAAUCAAGAGGACCCCCAUCAAUAGCCCUCUCUUCCUUCCAUUGUUUGAACCAAACUUGAGCAACAUCCUUAAGUUGAUAAGCGGCAAAUUCCUCCUUUUCCACUGGUGACACUUUCAUAAUUUCAACUAUCUUAUACAACUCAUCAAUAUACUCUUGAGAAUUUUCAUCCACUUUCGACCCAUGAAACUCCGCGGGAUUCCUCCUACUGUAGUCCCUUACCCUUAUCACCGUCGUACCCCCAUUUGGGUUCAUGGGAGAAAUGACCUCUCCAUAACCUUGGGUUGUCAUAGCUUGAGCCAACACUUGAAAAGUGGCUCAAAAUUCGACAUGAGUCACUUGCUCGGCCAAAGGGUCAAUCGGGGUUUGAGUAACCUCAGGCUCCACAUCAUUAGCCACUUUCCUGCUCACAUAAGGCCUUUGAAGAUCCAUAUACUAAAAAACAUCAAAAAAGAGUUACGGGAAAGACCUUUAUAGUGAUGAACUCUAUUGCACGACUUUAGAGUAGUGAAAGAAGUGAAGUUUCCUAAACUCCUUGUAUCCUCCUAUUCAUAUAUUUGGUGCACUUAACACUCAUGAACAAGACUCUACUCAACCCAGCUCCUCAGACAUCCUAAGACCUUUCUAAAACCAUGUGCAAUGAAUACCACAUUUUUCAUGACCCAAAGUAUACCCUAGAUGUGACAUGAAGUAUAGAACCCCGAGAGGCCCUAUACAAGACACUUGACAUACAUCAUACAUAAGGAAUUAUAAUAUUAGAUAUUGAAAGCAAUAAUCGUCUAAUAUCAUGAAAGAGUUUCGAACAUAAGUGCAAAAAUCCAACUAUGUCUUGACAAGACAUUUUAAAACCAACAUCAGAGUGGUUGGGACGUAACUCAUACACCAUGUACAAGGCUGAAAAUGAAAGACAACAUAAGAAAUAAAAUGCUUCAUGAUUGUCCCCUCGAAGUAUGAGGACUCACCAAUCCACUAAACUGGGAUAGAAAUCUGAACUAGCCACGAGCGAGAAGAGAAGUGUUGUACCCUAUAUUAUAAAAUAGUAUAGGCACAAGUAUGCAUUAGUACAUGGAAUGUAGUAAGUAUGGAGAAAUAUGUAUAAACAUAAACAUGGUCAUUUGGGAAAUUUAAACAUGAUAUGCAUGACCAAGCGAAAAAAUUGUUAAAGCCUUUGAGGGAAAUCAUAUAUCAUACAUUAAUCAAAGACAUAAUUAAAGCUUUUAAGGAAAAGUCAUAAUUAUUUUGUGGGAUAUUAGCUUUAACUAACAAUAGACUAUGUGAGCUAUAAAAUAGAAUCCGAUGUAACUCCCACACCGAGAAGGGAGAUUCUACUUGCCAAGGUAUAACUUUGUAUCAUAUCAUAAAGGUUGUGUCAAAUCCACUAGCUAGGUCAUUUAAGAUAAUCCUAUAGGGGCAUAUAGUUUGGAACUAUAGAUUGCUACUAGAGACUACCGUAUUUGAGCCUCUACCUCAAAGUUUUGUCGGUGCAAAAUUAAAUACCAACAAAAUAGAUAAAGUUAAUUAUCAAAGCAUAAAAUUUGAAAUGGAAAUAAUCACCAUACCAUUCAAAAUCUUAAAAAUGUAUAAGAGUAGCACUUUUAAAUCAUGAUUCAUACAUAUGUGAUAAGGAUUUUCACAACCAUGAUUUCAUAAUAUGUGAGAAAACAUUUAACAAUUCAUUGAUACUUAUCUCAAAAGCAUCCUUAGUUCAUAAAAUAUCAUUUUCAUCAAAUAUGCAUCACUUUCAUAAAUCAUCAUUCAUAAGUUCAUACGUUUUCUUAAUAAAUUCACAGUGAUGAUCAAUUAUAAUGCACGGGUCCAUAUGAAAUCAAUUGAAAAUCAUGUAAUUGAAUCAUAUCAUGCAUAAUAAGAUUGGAAAUCAAACAAUUGAAUCAGAACAAAGAGGAUCCAUGGAGAUUUCCAUGCAACCCUAAUCAAAUUGGGUAAGAAAUUGAAUUGGAGAAUGAGAUUCUUUGGGGACCAAUGGAUGAAUGAAAUCCAUUGGUGGAUUCCCACCUACCUUGAUAUCAAACCAUAGAAAAUCAAGAGAAAGAGAAGAACUUGAAGCUUGAAACCAUAGCUUUUCUUCCUUGAGCUUGAGAGUGAAUUGGAGAGAAGGAACUUGGAUGGGAAUUGAGAAUUUGAGAGAAUGAGAGGGUUUGGGUAGUUUUAGGAAUUGAAAGGUAGUUAUAAGACUUAGAAAUAUGGCCAAAACGAUUUAGUAUAGGUAUUAGUUUCAUUGCAAAAGAACCAAAUAACCUUAAGAAAUACCUGUCGAACAGGACCUACGAUUCGUAGGACUUUCUAGGGCUUGUACUAGUCAACCGUAGAACAAACUUCAGAAACCCAAAAAAUAAUCCAAAUUCCAUGAGACCCUUCUGCGAUCUGUCAUUCCUUCUAUGGUACGUAGAACCCAUGUUCAAGUACAAAAUUUCACUAAGUAUGGAUUACUGCUAUGGAUCCAACCUAUGACACAUAGAACUCAUCCUUUUCACUCAUAGGUCAAACAUAAGAGACUUAAAAUUUCAAAAACUCAACCUAAGCCCUACCAUUUUCCUUUUAUAGCUUGUAGAACUUCCUAUGGUCCGUAGAUAGGACUCGUAACUCACUACUUUAGUGACAAAACUGAACCUUUCUUUUCGAAUACGACUUUCCACACUAUAGGAAAAUUGUGAAUUACAUGGGGAUUUUCCUAGGGAUUAGUAUGAAAAUCCACAUGAAACUUAUUUUUCUAAAAAUUUUCAUACUACUCCCUAGGAAAAUCUCCAUGUAAUUCACCAUUUUCUUGUAGUACCAAUUUCUGAGGUGCUACAUCAAGCAAUAGAAUCUGUAAAUUAGCCAAUUGUUCCAUAGAUUUUACCAUUUCAAAUUUUCAGCCUCUACAUAACUCAAAUGGCUUAUAGACUUACGACUUAAAGAAUUUGCCACAACAUUUAAUUUACUUGGAUGGUAUAGAAUGCUCACAUCAUAAUAUUUUAGUAAUUCUAACCACCUUCUCUACCUUAAAUUCAACUCUUUUAACUAAACAAGUAAUUGAGACUCUUAUGAUCCAUGAAGAUAUAAAUGUGUACCACAUAAAAGUAGUGCAUCAUAUCCUCAAUGCAAACACUACAAUUGCAAAUUCUUAGAUCAUGGGUAGGUGAUUCUAGUCGUGCUUCCUCAACUGUGUAGAAGCAUAGGCAAUAACCUUGUCAUGAUGCAUCUAAACACAACCCAACCCAACUUUGGAAGCAUCAGAAUAAACAACAUAACCCUAUAUACCCUUAGGAAGGGUCAAGACAGGUGUUGAAGUUAAUUUAUCCUUUAAUUUGUAGAAACCUUUCUUACAGGCCUCUAACAACUAAAACUUAACUGCUUUAUGAGUCAACUUCGUCAACAAUACGGAGAUAAUAGAGAAACAUUCCACAAAUAUGUGAUAAUAUCCCGGUAAACAUAAAAAUUUACCAACCCUUAUAGGAUUCAUAGGUAUGGGCCAACUCUUUAUAGCUCCUAUUUUCUAGCUAUAAGCCCUUAUACCUUCAUCUAUAAUUAGAUGACCACGAAAAUCUAUAGAUGUUAACCAAAUUCACUUUUAAAAAACAUAGUGUACACCCUUUGCUCUUGGAGAGUCUGUAGCACAACUCUUAGGUCAUGCUCGGCCUCUUAUUGCAAAUAAAUCAAGAUGUAGUGAAUGAAGAUGAUCACAAACACAUAAAGAAAGGGCUUAAAUUACAUGUUAAUCAUAUCCAUAAAGGUUUUUGGUGCAUCGGUAAGUCCAAAUGAGAUCACCAGAAACUCAUAAUCUCCAUAUCGGGUUGUGAAAGUAGUUUUAUGGACAUCUACUUGUCUAACUCGUAACUGGCGGUGUCCUGACGUCAAAUCAAUUUUGGAAAAACAUCUAGCUCCCUACAACUGGUCAAAUAAAUCAUAAAUCGUGAGGAGCGGAUACUUAUUCAUAAUCGUUACUUUGUUCAGAUUUCUAUAGUUAAUACAAAUUCAUAAAGAUUUAUAUUUUUUUCAUACAAACAUGACUAGUUCAACCCUCUGUUUUAUUUUAGGCCAUAUGAAACAUUUCUCGAGCAAAUCUUUCCAUUUCUCCUUCAACUUUCUCAACUUUGCUAGAGCCAUUUUAUAAGGAGGUAUUGAGGCAGAGUACUUUGGAGUAGAUCAAUGACAAAAUAUAUUUCCCUUUCAGGAAGGACUCCAUGUACACCAUGUGGGAAAACUCCUGGAAACCACUUAAAACAAAAAUAAAUUUAAGAAUUGCAUGUUCGCUUUCUAGGUAUCUAACCUGAACAAAAUGAAAUAUAGCCUUUAGAUAUCAACUUAUGGACUCUAAGGUAUGAAAUAAACUUACCUUAAGGCAUAGCAACAUUACACUUCCAUUAUAAGACCAACUCAUCUGGAAAUUGAAAUCAACAUUACUAUAACAUGCUACUAUCCAUUUCAUGCCCAAAAUAACAUAAAAAUCAACCAUAUCAAGUGAUGAGUCCACAGUUUGGACUCAUUUAGGGCUCCAUUUUAAUAGAGUUAGUGUCCUCAAAUGCAUAUUUUGUCUCAAUAACUGAUGUAAAUCCUUAAGUUUCAGGUAUUUGAGUUUGAGGCAAGGCUUGGACACUACUUGGCAAAAAGGAACAAAACGGCUAAAAAAAUGGAGAAAAGAAGGCCUGAGGAUCCCUAAUGCAAUCGGUAAGUCACCGAAUGGCCUUAACCUCGCUCAAAGUUCCAUUGUGCUGAGCCCUGAAGGGAAAUAUCAAGUUGGCGAUGAAAAGGAGCAGUCAGUGUGUCGUUGAACAGUUCCGUGAAGCAGUACUAUAUCGCCCAAUGAUCUAGAACACGAAGAUGCUGAAGGCAAAAGCUGAAAGGCGAUGAAGCAGACCAAAGGGCAGAUCGCCGAAUGCAUCGGCGAUUCCAACUAACUGCGCCGAGUGAACCUUCGCAGCACAUUUUUUGACAACUAUAAAUAUUAGUUUAAAUUUGUAUCUUAGUAUGCAAUUUCAGAUACAACAAUUUUAUUUUCUAAGUUUACAAGUAGAGAACAUAUUUGCUUAGCUUUUAAAGAUUUGAAGACUUCCAAUUCCAAGAAAUUUGAAGUGGGUGUUGAAGAUUCUUCAUCUUAGACUUGUUUAAAGUGAAUAUAAAUCAUACCGAGUUGAUGUUACUUUGAUUUGGUAUCAUUUUCUUCCUUUUUCUAUGUCUAGCUAAAACCCAAUUCUUGGGGUGUGAUUUUGUGAAUAUGGGUUAAAUUUCCUGUUGGGUAUUGCUUAUUGUUAGUCUAUUUGCUGUUUAAAUGUGAUUUCGUUUAGUAGUUGUGUUUGAACUUAAUGGGAUUGUAGUUGCAAAUACGAUUUCAUCUUAGUGUUUUUGGCUGGCUCGAGAGACAGGUUUUAAAACUAAGACUACUUAAUCGAUAGCCGGUGGUUAUUGGGUCGUCGUGGGUUCAGCUCGAGAGAGUGAAUCCUAGGGUUUUUCACACACAUUCAGCUCGAGAGAGUGAAUGGGCUAAGGCGGAGGUUGUGCUUAAAAGUGGCAACUCGGUGUUCGAGAGAAACUGAGUUGAUUCAGGGUAAGUUGCUCAAGAGAGAAUUUACCCCCACUAAAGUCUAGCCUAGUUACAAAUGUUCAGCAAUUGACUAUCAAUAGCAUUUACCCGAUUGUGUAGUUUAUCCCAUAUUCCUAUCACAUCCCAAGAAUCUCGUCUCCUAUAUUCGCAUCUUUUUGUUUUCACUGUUUUUGUUCAUUAAUUGAAUACAAACUCCCCCAUUGAUAAUUGACAUUUAUGCCAACCCCUUAAUUUAUCAUGAUUUUACUCGAUAAAGUUUUAGCUAUGGUUAACUCUAGCAUACUUGCACUUAACUCUUAAUUCUUAGAAACUGCUCCCUUGGGACUCGACCCCAACCCAUUUGGUUGGGUUAUAUUACUAUUGUACUAUCGUAGACACUUGAAUCGGAAGUUGUGUCUUGAUUACACAAACAUCAUCAAGCUCUUUUAGAUCAACUCGGGUAAAUCUACUACAUACCAACACUACACUGUUUCAAUAAACCCUGCUACCUAAUAUAGACUCACAAAUAAGAGUAGAAAUGAUAGAUGGUUAAAAUAAUAAUUCAAGAAAUAUUUCGAAUUGACUUGCAACCAAUAGAGUAACAUAAAAGAGGGUAGAAGCAGGAUCCCCGUACUCUUUUUUCCUAUUUUCUUUAUUAUUUCAUGUCGAGCUUUAGAAAGACACUGGGAGGGAGAAUGAACGAUCGACUGCUAAAGAUCUUGAAUAAAGCAUUGAUAGCUUUGCAGAGGAGAAAAACUUUGAUUCUUCUUGAAUGUGUUCCUUGCAUGUUGAAGUGAACAGGGGCGGUACCAACUACGACUAGAAAGCGGCCACUCCUGUCAAUGAAUACCAUUCAUGAUUGUCUAUGUUAGUAACAUAGCCAUAACAACUUUGUUUUACUGCUUGAGGUGGUGAUAACUUUUAUAUAUUUGCUUUAUUAUAAGCUUGCAUAGUGCUCUAUCAAGAAAAAAAUAUAGUAUUUAAGAAUAAUUAAUCAAUGUACCUAUGACAAUGUCAAAUGAUACCUCCUAGUCCUGGUGACCACCCAUUGCAUAAAACAAAAUUUACGUCCCUUCAACCAGAUGACUCUCCCCCUCUACACCUUCCACUUCCUGAAGUGGAUUGAGGACCGAGUCUUGGAGGGAAACUUGAUGAAGCUAAUGAUGAUUCUGUUUGUUAAAUCAUACAACCUCUCUCUCUCUCUAUAAUAAGAUAGUACCGCCUAAUAUGCCCUAAAUUACCACACAUAUAAAAUAGUUUUAUCCCCUGAUGACAUGGUCCAGGAUGUGCCCUUCUCAACUAAGCACAAUGCAGCAAUGGUGGUCUUCCCUACUCUGAAUGCUCAAGUCGUUGCAGAGAGACUGAACUCUAAUCUCUCAUAUAAACCUGUAACACGGAUGAAUUACUCUCUACAGGUCUAGACAAUUGCCUGGAUGAAAAAGCCUCGUGGUCCCCUUGAGGUUCACUUAGAAAACAACAGUCUUAGCUCUCUUCCUCUGUUUCUACUCUCUACGAGUAUCUCGUAGCUGAUGAAACAAAUCCUUCUCCCUUUGGGCAAGAGCCUGCUUUUGUGCAAUAUUUGUAUCAGUCUCAGUAGACAUUCCUAAGCAUUUAUGAGCCACAUAAGACCCUAAACAUAAAAAAAAAAAUAGAUACACUCUAUCCUUCUUCGUCUGCACCAUGUGGGAAUCAUAUAUGGCCAAGGAAUUAAAUCUGAGGCUAUACUCACGCAUACCCAUAUUACCCUAUUGCAUAUGUAAGAACUACUCAACUUGAGCCUGUCGAAGGUCUUCUUGUAGGUACUGCUCUAUAGAGACCUAGGAGAACUCUUUCCACCAGCUGGAGGUGCAUUAGUUUCGUUAGUUUUUUCCCAUGCCUCAUAAAAUAAUAUAGCUACAUCACAUAGCGUGAAUGAUCCUAGCUCUACUCCCUCCAUAACUAUAACCCGCAUCACCUUCAAUAUUCUACAAUUCUUAUCAAUAACAUCCUGAGGAUCUUCUUUGGAUAAGAUCUACAGAAAAGUAAAGGAAUCAAGUUCAGAAACUCACAAGCCCGCACAACUUCUAGGCUUUAUGCUACUUCAAACUUUCAUGCUGUCCAACAUCUUUACAAGCCAUAAACUUAAUUGCUCCCUCAGUGCCCAGUCCUUUUAGAGAUUCUGGAGGUUUGAUAGGUGUUGGAGGUACAAAAACUUUGUCACCCUCGUGUAUCACUAGGAAUGGUGAUGUUGGAUGUUUUUCUAAUGUAGCUCUACCUGGAGAAAGAGGGGCUGUAAUAUCUGGAGCAGGACACUCGCUUUGAACCUCUAAUCUAUAUCUUUGUUCAUUAGGUGGGCGUAUAUUACCAUCUCCUGAAGUUAUACAUUGUGUAGAUAUCUACCUCAUCGUCAACAUAUUCUGAAAUAAUUACAUGAAUAGGAUAUCAUAUAACCUGAUGACUUCGCUCUAUAGCACGAAUUGUCCAUGAAAAUGUGAAACAACACCAAAGUUUCCUAUAUCCUCAUGAUUGUAACUAUGGUGCACCACAUACCCAUAAGAAAGACUCUACUAUACAUGGCUUUGUGGACUCCUUAGUACACGACCUCGCUAUGAUACAAGGUUUGUCACGCCCUAAAACUAAGGUAGGGUGCGACUGGCCUCGAUAUUGACUGAAUUGAGAAGCUGUCUAUAUAACAUAUGAAAUUGUAAUACACAGGCAACCAGACCACCUAUCACAACCUCCUAGACCGACAAGGUCACAACUAAAUAAAAUUUGAUAAAAAUAAGGUUAACUAAGCCAUAAUGUAACUGAGCUGAACAAUGGAAUGCCGACAAGACCAUAAAACCAAACUGAACAAAACUAUACAUUAGCGUCCACAAAACCCUCUAAAGAGUAACAAACUUAGUUUUCAGAACAGAUAAUGGCUCCUGAAAAACAGAAGCAUACAAACUCUCAGCUGAAGUUAGACUCCUAUUGCAACUAACGAUAAAAGCAUGUAUCUGCACCUGCAUCAUGAAUGUGGCGUAUACAAGCGUAGGGACAUCAGUAAAAAUACCAUGUACUGGUAUGUAAGGCUAAAAGCGGUAAAACGGAGUAUAUCAAAGAUACUAAACUACAGUUAGGGAUAGAAAAAACCUGAGAUUCCGGAAGCUGAGAUUUGAUAAUGACUUAACAUUUAUCUUCUAAUGCAUCAAAUUAAGCACAUAUACCAAUCAUACCUCCCCAAUGGUGAACUAUAUGAUAAUCAUGUCAUAGUAGCGACCCUACUUAGCCGAGAUGGCCAUCUUGGUGGUGUAAUGACGGAGUAAGAAUCAGCCCACCAGACAUGUUUGUCGUGGUAUUAUGGUGACAAAGUAAGAAUAUACCCACCAGACAUGCAUGCAGUGGUGUUGUGGUGAUUCAGUAAACAUCUAUCCACUAGACAUGCCUGGUGGUGUGGUAAACUAUAGUACUAUAGCUUCCUACCGACAUUACCCCAUUGGUAGUGUAACAUGAAGUCAUAACCACUAUCAUCUACCAAGCCAAACAUGCUCAUAUCGAGUGUAUCUAAUAAUUAUACCACAUAUGCAAUCUAACUCUAAGAAUGCAACCUAAAUAGGCCACUUCAAGACUCGUGAAUUGUAACUAUGUACAUGUAACAUAUAAAGCUUUCAAAUAGCAUAUAAAUAUGCCUACUCUAUACUUAAACAAUAGCUAGAAGGUUUAGAUGUCAUAAGGAAUCCAAUAGGCUUAUGAAUGAUGUACCAAAUCUAUUUACAAUGCCUUCACGUAUAGCUUGAACAAGAGAUCAUAUAUUUUUAUUUUUAUUUGAUCAACUCUUUUACGAUCUGUAUAUAUACAUAUAUUCUAUCCGUAAGGUGCUUCUUUUACCCGUGUCAAAAAUUAUGUUAUUUUACUCUGUUUAUAAACUUAUUGUGUCGAUGAUCACCAAUAGUUCUUAAUGUUUUUCAUGAAACUCACAUACACAACUACUUUUAAAUGAAAACACAUAUAGGACCAGCUCACAGUGCUCACGAUAAGGGGUCUCCAAACACAAUUUACAACUACGAAAACAAUUGUAUAUAAAUCGCCAUUUUUGUCAUAUUCAUAUAUUUUAAUAUUAUAAAAAUUAUAGAAAAUCACCAUGUUUUUCCAACCUUUUAACCGAACCAUACAAUACCUUAAUAGGAGUUGAAAACAUAGGAAUACUAGUCCAAUCAACGAUGUAUAUUGGUUCUUGAAAAUAGAGGAAAGGGGUAUCUAACCUUUAUUUGAGUCCUUUAACAUAAUACAAUGUCUGGAUUAUCUCUUGCUCCUUCAAUAUAAAACAACAACCAAUGAAAAUUCAACUUUAAAUAGUUAUACAACACAUCCAAGUCAUUUAGUCUAUUCAACAAACACAUGAUGGGCGUAAAUUCAAGAGAAAUUUAAAUCAAUAGGUGUUCGUAGUAUUAAUCCAUUCAUAUUACCAACAACAAUACACUACACUUAAAUGACUCUAAUACAUUAACCUCCAUCCACAAGACCAGUGCACACAUCCCUCACCAAAAACAUCAAUUAACAUGAGGGGAAUUUUUUUUCACGACUCCCUAUUACCAUCCUAUGAGUUGUACCCAUAUUUUAUAUAGCUAAAACAUGAAGAACAUCACAUACAUGAGAGAAGGGAACAUGUACAUACCUUGCUUGAAGCAGAUGUUGUCCCUUAAGAUUGUAUUUAACCAAGAAGAAAGGUUGUCUCUUCACUCCAAAGACAGACUUAAGUGAAUAAUAUGCUUGGUUGAGGAACAAUACUUGAUUCUUGGUUGAUUUCUCAAUUAGGGCUUUUGGAGAGGAGAGGGCUUCAAGAACCAAAAACGAGGAGCUUCAUAAAUAACUUAGGAAAUGUCUCUAAUGAAUUCACCUCAUACAUAUCAUUUUUAAAAUAUUUGUAAUGACAUAACAUGUGCUACUCACGUUCCCAACACAACCAAUUUAGGUUUCUGCGUAGUUCGUAGUAAAAUAAGCAUAUCCAUUUUCUCUGAAGUCUUAUUGAUGAGUGAUUUAUUUCAUUAAACUACACUCACAUGUAUUUAAUUUUAUAUAUUAUAUAACCUAUAAAUCCUCAUAUGCUAGGAGAUAUGAUUAUCUCAAUUUAGACCACAUAUGAGAUUAUAUGAAAUAAUCUGUCGUAAUGUAACCUUCUAACUUGUAACCUUGUUAUGACACUUAUGUUGAUGCACAAUGAGUAACAACCAAUAUGAUCAUCCCUUUAGAACCUUAUUCUCCUGGCAACUCAUCAACAAACAACGUAAGAUGAAAAAUAUAGUUUUGGACGCGUAUAUCUUUAGCUUACUGAGUUAGUUACCUUAAAAUAUACGGGGCGUUACAAUUUGGCUUGCCUACCUUUGUUUAUAUGACAUAUUGUUACUCAGGUCAUGACCUUAACGGUCAGCUUAGUAUUUCAAAUGUUGUGUUACCUGACCUUUUGGGCCCUUAGUUUAAUUAGCUAGUAUAUUUUAGUGACUAACUUGACUGAAUACGGUUUUGUGUUCCGCUCACGCCUCCCCUAGUUUUGAGGGUGAAAUAAACAAUACUGAAAUGUAGAUUGAUCAUUCAUACAUUGCACCCCUCUUAAGAAUAGGAAAAUUAGUUAUUCAUGACAUAAAUUAAAAAAGUAAUACCAACAUUAUCAGCUAUAAUAGUUAUUGAGUUGAAUCCCUACAUAAAUGAAUCUUCAAAAGCCUUCAAUCACAAGAAGGUUCCCAGAUCUCUAACUACAAGAUUCUUCCUAAUUGUAAGGGUUUUGUAGAGAAUGUACUAUGAAUUUUAAAGAAUGUAAAGAAAGUGUUCUCUCAUUUUAAAAUCUAUUUAUAUUUUUGAGAAAAUAUUCACAAAAAUGCUCUUCGAGACAAUUUAAUGAUCUUAAUUGAACUCACAUAAUUGUUUGGCAAUACACCAAUUUGUCACUCACCUCGCUGAAUCGGUUUGUGCAAUUGAUUUCUUUUUUCAGGCAACUGUGAAUUUGGAAGAUACUCUAGACCUUUGCUGAGUCAAUUCGGUAAUAUUAUGAAUGUCCUUUUUGUGUCGCCAACUUGAUGAGCAUUUAAAAGGUAGCGGCUGCUAUUUUAGGAGAGCUGAAAGUCAGUUUACUAUGCUUCAAACUUGAUGCGCAAUGCUCAGUGCAAACUUGACUACCUUUUUCUUCUUUUGCUUUCUUCCUCUUCUUUUCAACUCCAAGGUAUCCUUAGAACUUUCAUAGUUGAAAUAUUAUUAAAUUAUGAUCAAAAGGGGUAUAAAUAAGCAUUGAGGACAUUACUUUUUUAUGAGAAAAAAAGCCUGAAAUGAGUCCUAAAUCUCCAACUCAUCAUUAUUUUCUUAAAAAAUAUUUGAUAAUACAAAAUUUAGUCAAGUUAUAUAUAACAUCCUCCAAAAAAAAAUAUUUGCAUUGUUUAAGAAAUUAAACAUUUCUAAGAAUUAUAAUGCUUUCUUUCCAAAAAAAUUUUGUUAACACUUCGAAAUUUUGUUGUAAUAUACCAGAAUAUCUUGAUAAUAUUUUAUUUGAAAAAUAUUAAUUAAAUAAAUAAAUACAAGUUAAUUUGAAUGUUAAAUGCACUCUUGGCAUUAUCAAAAUUAAAAUAUAAAUCAAAUUAGAAAGUAAAUACAAAGAAUUUAAUUUCCAUGAAGACAAACAACUGGAUACAAAUCAAGAGUGCAAAAGAUUAAUAUCUACAGUAUUUUUAUUUUAUUUUUUAAAAAGUUAUAUAAAGUAUACAUAUAUCUGUGUAUUUCUUAUUUUUAAAUAUGUAUCUAUAUAGUCCAUAUUAAAUAUAGUGAUGAAUUGUUUAUGGAUAAUUUAUUAGUAAAUAGUAGAGUGAAAAAUUUUACCAAAACAAAUGUCUGAUCUAUAAACAAACUCAAAAAUGGAUAGGUCAACAAAAAAUCUAAGUUCUCAUAUUUUUAUAUAUCAUUUUAUAAGGUAGAAAAACAAAGAAGUUCAAUUUUAUGAAAUUAAGACAUAAAAUAUUAUGAUUAUUAUUUUUUUAAUUUCACUACCUUCAAUUUAUCCAAGCUCAUCCAAUAAAAAAGAUUUAAAUUUUCUGGACAUGUCCACUUCAAUUUAUCCUCAAUAAAUGAUAUAGAGAUAAAAUAGACAUGCUAGAUAUGGUGGGCGAGUCCCAAGAAUUCUUUAUGAUUUGAAAAAUAAAGUUGCGUUUAGAUUUAACAAGUAGAAGGAAAAAAUUGCAAGAAAGUUUUGUCAGGAGAAAGAAAAAGAAGAAGAAAAAGUUUAAAAUGGGUGAGAAAAAGUAAGGAUAUAGAAAGAAAAUGAUACCUCUUAAAACAUAGCUUGCACCAUCGAAUUAACCUCCACUCCUCCUCCAACCACUAUAAUCCAGCCAGGUCAAGUGGAACCUCCUCUGAAAGAUACUUUCAAACUCAAUAUUGACGGAUCCUUCGACUCCUUAAACCGCAUAGGAGGCAUCGGAGGGGCAAUUCGGGACGACCUGGGAAACUCGAAAGUUGAUUUCCACUACAAAUUGAUGGGAAUUACCUCUACCCAUAUGGAAAUUCUUUCCUUACUUAAAGGAGCAGAGUUGGCCGACUAAUUUCACCUCAAGCCUUUGGAGAUAUAGACCAAUUCCAGUGAUAUAAUACGAAUUCUAACCGAAGAUACUAAUCUAAUCUAUAAACCUCCUGUUUCCUUAUGCAGGUAUUGGCUGGAAAAACUAGGGAAUCUGACAAUCCAACAUAAUUUUAGGGAGAGCAACAAAUUAGCACACAUACUAGCAACUUAUACGAGGAAAAAUGGUAUUAAAGAAUGUAUAAUCCUCCUAACACCACCCUUAUGGACGCUGCAACUACUAGAAGAUCAGCAUGUAUACACUAUCACUUAAAAAAUGUCAGCCAGAACUUUUAAUAAUCUAGUAAAAUAUGGGUAUACUAAUAUCUCUGAUGUAGUAUUAUCAUAUGUAACUUUUCCUCA
Molecule: long non-coding RNA, 60209 nt
Filed under: Solanum tuberosum (potato)
Lineage: Eukaryota; Viridiplantae; Streptophyta; Magnoliopsida; Solanales; Solanaceae
Description: long non-coding RNA (STUB_LNC007297)
Source: RNAcentral